AUAUAUAUAUAUAUAUAUAGAGUAGGAUUGCUGUGCUCUCAGGAGCACGGAGGUCUCCGUAGACCUCCGUGCUCCUGAGCCAUUUUCGAUGAUGAAAUUUUUGAAUCGACAAUUAGCUCUGUUAGACUUGAUCUGGCGUAUUUGAAGUUUCUAGAAAAUAAUUUUUGCGAUUUUUCGAUAUCAUUUUUCUAGCAAUUGAAAGGAUUCAAAAUCAAUAAUUUUUAACGACUGAAAAUAAAAAUUCUAUAAAAAGUAGUGAUAUAGUACUAAAAUUUGUUAUCAGAAAUAUUGAUCUUGUUGUAGAUAGUAUAAAGAAUUUUCUAUCAAAAUUUCAUCUGAUUUGAAUACUUCAACACCGUUAAACUUGAAAACGGCAAAUAUCAACUAUUAAAAAUUAUUGAUUUUGAACUCUUUCGAUCACUAGAUAAAUAAUAUCGAAAAAUCGUAAAAACUAUUUCUAGAAACUUCAAAUACACUAGAUCAAAUUUAACGGAGCCGAUCAUCGAUUCGAAAAUUUCAUCAUCGAAAACAGCUCAGGAGUAGCAAUCCUGCUAUAUAUAUAUAUAUAUAUAUAUAUAUAUAUAUAUAUAUAGUAAUAGAAUAUUUUCAAGUAGGUGCGAAUUUAUUUAUUUAUUUAUUUAUUUAUUUUUUUAGAGAUAGGUAGCAUGCUACCUGCUUCGUUUAUUUCAUUAAGAAAUAAACUUAGCUGAAAAUGUGAAUCAAUUAGGAUUCGAACUUAAGAUCUCGGAUACCAACCAUCAAGUCUUUUGUCACUUGCUUUAGAAACGGUCGGUAGAUGCGAAUUUAUUUACUAACUAUACAUUAUAUAUUAUGAUGUUGUCGAAGCUACAUGGGUGGGAAUUAUUCAAAAGCAAAUCUACUUGACUGUUGAUUUGAAAACCGAACGAGACGUAAAUUGGAUCUUUGUCGGGCUUGUUAUUAAUAAUAGGCAUGAAUGAUUGGUGGCUACAAAUUAGGGAUGGAGAUAAAAGGGGGAAGCAUAUUAUGAUGAUGCGUAAAACUAAGUGAUGUGAGGAAGAGGCUUUGAAAAGCACCACCACUGCUUCUCUUUCCAGCUCUAACCAAAACCCCACACCCUGGGCCCGUGUCAGGUCCUCAGCUGUAGCUAUAGCUUAGGUCCCAAACCCUGCUUUCACCUUCCUAAGUUAUCUUGUGGACCCGGCUCGCCACAUCCGCCAUGAACCACCCCAGCAUCUCUCAUGAUGCUGACCAAAAGUAGAGAUGGGAUCGAAAACAGAAGACAGGUGCUUACAUAGUUGAUGCACAGUACGUAUAAGCGGCAUCCUAUAAGGCCUAAGGUUGUUUGAAAAUUUUAUUACUUCAACGGCAUUAUUAAGAGAAAUAAUAUACUGGAGUAAUAAUGCCUCAUCAGUAAUCUUUGGUUUUUGUUGAUUGUAAGAGUUCGUCUGAUCUUGCUUUUAUUAUUGUUUUUAGUAGUAGUAACCUCUAGCGAGCAUAGUUGAUGUUUGGUUCCGAAAGUUGUUAAGUUUUUUUGUUUCUAUCGGAAACCCCAAAAAAAAAAAAAAAAAAAAAAAAAAAAUCAAUCAUGGAUUCAAUAAUAUAAUGUUUUUCCUAAAAGCAUUACUUGUUUAUCCUUUCAUCAAAUAGUGUGCACAGCUUGUUUAAGUUUUCAACUCUCCAACCUAGUGAAGGUUUUAGUUUUUCUUAUUUACCGGACGCUGUAUUGAGAUCGAUCGAUCGGUCGAUUGAAUAUGCAUAUGUGAAGCUAAAAGCGAAAGCAGAAGCAGAGUCGAACAUGCGCUAAGAAACCCUUGCCCGGUACCUCCCACGCCCACGCGCACGCGCACGGCACGUGCAGGAGAUCGAUAGAGCCAAGGAGACGACACCCUCCGGGGGGAAGGGGAAAAAACUGUUAAUGGCCUAAAAGAGAUUCCCUUUUUCUCGCAGAGAGGACGCCCCAUUAUUACUGCCACCUUUCUGUUUCCUUGUGGCUCUCCUAUAUAUCCUCUGAGAGAGUGGUUUUUUUUUUGACGUUAGUGGGGAUGCAUGGGCCCAACAUUUUUAAUAUAUGGUCCGUGUGCUUAAAUUUGCUCUAAUUUCAACAGGUCCCCCAUUCAUUUUAGAGUCCAUGGAAUUGUACAUUUGUUGUCCUUUUUGACUAAACAGGUACAUGCAUAUUUGUCGAAACUAUAUAAUUGCAGCCACUCCUGUAGAAUUGGUUUGUAAUUAACUUGGUACGUACCAAGCUCGACCGUCUCAGGGCUAGCUCGGAGAUGACUCGGUUCAAGUAUUGCUUUGAACAGAAAUGGGCGUGUUGGUUUGGUUUCAGAAUGCGCAUAUUUAGACGAGAGUUAAUAAGCAUGAGAAUAUGAUUUCGAUGCUAUAUGUGAUUCAUACUCGAGAAAGUACCUUAUCGAUUAAGUAUCAAUCUGUAUAUAGUAUGAUCAGAUGUUUCUUCUUUUUUUUUUUGAGAGAUAGAUAGCACACUAUCCGGUUCGUUUGUUUUAUUUAAAAAUAAAUUUAGCAAGAAAUGUGAGUUAAUUAGGAUUCGAACUUGGAACCUCGGAUACCAACCACCAAAUUCUUUGCCACUUGAUCAGAUGUUUAUAUAAGUGAUUGCUACUAUGCAUAAGUUGAGGAUCAAGAGUUGCACGAGAGCUCAAUCAAUCAAUCAAUCGCGCGCGCGCGCGAGAGAGAGAGAGAGAGAGAGAGAGAGAGAGAGAGAGAUCCCCAGAAAAAUCCCUAGCUUGCCUUCAAUUAGGCCAGCUUGAUAUGUGGUGGCUUGAGGACCCUAAAUUUUUCCAGGUUGAGCUUGUUUUAUUUUUGGACCCAAAACAAAUGGUGCCUCUGCUUAAAUGGCAAAUACAAUUAUUAAUGAUGGCAGUCUCCGUACCAAUUAAUGCCUAUUUUUGCGUGGUAUCCUAAAAGUUUAAUGGGUUUCAAUUCUUUUGGAAAUACAAGCAAGUGGUAAAUAGUUUAUGAGUUUGCAACAAUUAUGUAUCAUAUUUAUCCAUGUAAAAAGUUGCAUGUAUGUGCAAUGGUUCAUACCAAGUUUAAUGUAACAAACACUCACGAGAAUCCUAAUCUUAUGAUUUAAUGAGUUUCACCAAACUCGUAUUUAUUGUUGUUGUCUGUUGCAACUAAUCUUUCACAUGAAAAAAAAGAGUCGCAUUAAUUUUAAAAAAAAAGAGAUAAAAAAAAUGAGUCGCAUUUAAUACUGCAACAAAAGUACCGCGGCACAAUAAAUUAAAAGCCUAUAUGUUAAUAAUUAAUUAGUUGUAACUUCUCAUUUGCUGUUUCCGUGCGAGUGAAGCAUAAGCUGUAAAACUCUUUGACAGUAACAAUAAAUAUCAUGUUUUUGUGGUUUCUUAUAUAUCCAUUUCUCUCUUGUUGUGGAACAGUUAAUGCCCCUCAGAUGUUUAGCAACAAAAUAAAUUCAAGCGUACGAUUCGAGCUCGUAGGAAUUUCCUCACCCCACCAAAUGAAGUAAAUUUUAUAAUUGUUUUAAUUGUACUUAGCUCUCUAAAACUGUAACAUGCUAUCACUUUGCACCUUUUUAUGUUUUUAAGAAAAAGUAACGUGUAAGAUUUUGAAAACAAAAUUGAGGUAUAGAACAUCUAAAUUCUCGUUAAGAUAAAAAUUAACCCGCCUGCAGAGCACAACCUUAUAAUUGAAGCAAGCAGAACAUCAAAAUCAAACUUGUUCUCGGACUUCAAAUGCCACUAAAACUCUUCAGAAAAGCUCACCUCAAACAACGCUAUUACUUACAAAAGUUUCAUCCGACCUGCACCAACUUUCAGAGUCGCGAUUGGAAUGGGACAAAUACAGGCUGCUGGCACCAAUAAAAUUAGAAGCUCUGGAGCAAACUCCCGGACACUUCUUAAAUUGUGAUGUACCGCAUCAGAAACUGCAUGCUCCGCCAUGAAGCUCAAAGACAUGAUAUAUGCAAUUAGUCACAACAAGCGUUCAUCCAAAUAUCGGUCCCCCUCCUUAUAUGCAUGGAUGGGCUAUAUAUGUAUCUAUCCAUCUCCGAACAAACAAACAAUGGUACUACGAAGGUGACCCAUGCAUGAACACAACGCAAAGAGAUCGGCAAGUGUCCUCGUAUCAAUACAACCAAUAUCUCACUAGUAGGUGACCUUUUUUUUUCUUUUCUUUUUUUAAUUUUUUUUGCCCGCCAAAACAUUUCAUGUGGCAGACCAUCAAAUUGUUGGGGAAGAGACUACUGUUGUAUUGCUAGCUAGAUAAAAGCUAGCUAUGACAAAGCUUGCGAUUUUUCUUUUUUUUUUUUUUUCUAAGUUGAUAAAUGCUUUAGCUUAUUUGGCUAUGCCUUAGGUGGCUCCCAGAUGAUGCUGAUGUGCUGGCACACCCUGGCCCUAGGACGACCGCAUGUACAAACCAAGCAAACAUAUUUUAUACAUGCAUGCUAGCUCGUAUGCCAGAAGUUUUCGAGAGUGCACAUAAUGUAGUGUGGUUUGGAUGGAUUUCAAAUCAUGAGAAGCUUUACUUCAUAGAUGAGUUUUUCUUUUUUGUUUUUUCGGGGGUCCUCCAAGUAUGAAGCGCUUGACGCCUUGAUUAUCAAAUUUUAAUUUAUAGUAAUUUACGGCUAUAAUUUUUUAAAUUAUUACAAUUAAAUCUCACAAUUCAUUUUAAUUGGCUACGUAUUAAAUGAAUUGUUGAUAUCCAAGUAAUAUAAAAAUGCUACCACUGCUGGUGUGAUAAUAAUUUUGAUGUUACGGGACUUUUGCAUCAAAAUAUAUCAAUAUUUAGUCAAGUAAUAAAAUUGAAUUACGAGACUUUACUUUUAUAAUUCAGAAUGUUCAAACUAAAAAUUAUAAUAAAUUUAAAUUUGAAGACCAAAAUACCACGUGCUUCAUAGCUUGAGAACCAAAAGUAUAUAUAAUCCAACUUUUCUUUUUUUUUUCUUUUAAUCUUUUGAACUACUCUAUCAAUUCGAGAUAACGUAAUAAAGGGAUUAUACGAAAUUAUUAUAGCUUUUGCUUAAAGUUAAAAAAUUUGAAAAUAAGGGUGUACAUAUAAAUUAAUGCAGCAGUUGAGUGAUAAUUAAGCACUAAUUGCUGAUCACUAGUACUAAAAUUGUUCUCUUUGUUUGGAUUGAGGCAACCCAGCUAGCGUUGAGAGAUCAGAAAAGGAAAAGUUUGACUAUACAUGCACUGCUUGAAUUGACACUUCAAGUUAGAAACCAGCUUAGGAUUCCUGUUGCCCAUUCUUGGGUUUGAAGUGGGUGACCAGAUCCAACUUGGUCAGAAGCUUAUUUUAAUACCCUUAUUUUAAUACCCCAGUUUAAAUGCUAAAAAGGUAACAUAUUAAAAAUAUGUAUUAAAUAAUAAGGAAAAUGAACAGCACCUUCAACGUGAUUGGACGUGUAAAAGAGGUUCAAAUAUAUAUAUUCUUUAUACUAUAUAAAACAAGAUAAAUAACUUUGAUCUAAAUACUUAAUAUCAUAUCUUCAUAUUUUGUAAGAUUUUUAUUUUCAGCAGUUGAUUUUGAGCCACUUCGAUCACUAGGCAAAUGAUAUCGAAAAAUCGCAAAAUUUAUUUUCUUGAUACUUCAAAUACUCUAGAUCACGUCUAACGGAGCCAAUCGUCGAUUCGAAAGUCCGAACAUCGAAAAUAAAGUGGAAGCACGGAGCCCUCCGUGCUUCCAUAAGCAUUCUAGCCGCAAUAUAUAUAUAUAUAUAUAUAUAUAUAUAUAUAUAAUCAAAGUUGCAUUGAAAUGGAAGUUAUCUAAACGUGGUCAGCAAGUAAGAUAAUAUUUGAAUUUUCAAUGACACAGUGAAUAUUAUAACUUGAUUGAAUUUUUAAAUAUUUAAAGCUUAAUUACAGGAUAAGUUAUUUUUGUUCGCACUAGUGUGUGAUGUAUUGCAGCCUAAUUCCUAAAAUGAGAGGGGAAAAAUUGUUUAUUAAGAAUGAAAAAAAAUUGUAUGAAUACACAAUAGCUUUUCAAUUUGAACAUACAUAUUCAAGUAGGAACACAUGCACACAGUAAAAUUAAUUAUAUAUUCUCAAUUUUCUCAAAAAAAAAAUCAGCAAAAUUCAUUUGAUAAAGGGUUACAAUAAUAAAAAUCAUAGAUGUAGCUAGCUCUCUACGCAAUGUUCUUCUUAUAAAGUUAAUUUUAAGGAGCUCGAGGUUGACUAAAGAUUAAAUGAGCUCAUUUAAUUGCAUACGCAUAUAGAUAGAAACAUACAGGUGGCAAAAUAAUGAUACUAUUAGUUGCAUCAACCGCCACAACUACUGUACUAAGAUGCCUCUUCUUAAUUCAAAAUAAAUAUCAACUUAUACACCUAAAUAUGGUUAAGUACUGGAUUAUGAACUUAAUUUUUACACAGGUAACAACCAUCAUCUCCAAGCUCCUUGGUUAGCAUACAUGAAUUUUCGAGUUCUAGAUUCUUUCGCGUCUAAUCUCUUGCCGAUCAACAUUCAUAUGUUUAAAAAUCGUGUAUCGAUAGUAAAUCGAUCCCUUGAGAUAAUAAUUAUUUAAAAGCAUAAUAAUCACUCAACAAAAAUACAAGAGUUUUCUUGAAAUGUAACUGGCCGAAACACAACAGUUAUGCAUAAUUGACGUCACAAAGUCAUUGAAUUAUAUAUAUACUUAUAUAUAUAUUGAAAGCAAAUCUUCAAACUUUAUAAUGCAUCUAAAAUAUUAACACCUCUUAACUAACACAAAUUCAUAUACAAAUACAUACACAGAGAAAUGCUCAUGUAGAUAUGUAAAAAAAAGUACAAUUUCACAAAAAUAAACACCUAUUUUGUAAUAUAGUACGUGAGUGUAGCCAUCAAAUGUAACCAUCAAAUGAUUCAGUGAAUGGGAUUAUUAUGCGUUAACAACCUUUUUAUUCACCUAAACCUCUGACUUUUUAAGCAAAUUAAUCAAUUAACGCUUAAAAGAAUACAAACUAAAAGAAACAAAAUCAAAAAAGGGUCUGAAUCAAAAAAAUAUAAUUAAUUCCGCACGGCCUCUGGAGACUUCUCCAUAUAUUUUUAUUAAAAGAAAAGAAAAAAAAAUGCUAAUUUAUUUUUAUGAGGAUUAAAAAGAAAAAACUGUUAAUUUGGCCUUUUAUUAAGUUUUAUCCCCCGUAUUAUUAGGCCCGUGCCCCUAUAAUUAUAAGACUAAGCCCUUAGGCCUUAGGCCUUAGGCUUACCUGGAUCCACCAUGGACGCCUCCGGGCCCCACAUCCCUCCACCAGCUGUCCUCCACGUGUCCCCCAUUAAUGACGUGGCGGGCAUGCCAUGACGAUGCGGGCCCCACCACACCCCUCCCAAAAUUAAAAAAGUUAUUAAAAUACACGGUUUUUGAGGCGCUGUUGUGGGCAGUUAAGCGAACAGGGGCCCUUCUUAAAUUCGCGGGGGGGCUGUUCCGUGAUCCGCUGCUACGCACCGCACAGCGAACAACCUUUCCUGCCAAUCAAGACCGUCCGAUUGCGCAGAUCACUACGCAGGUGGGCCCCACGGUCGCGGUUUAACAUUUAACAUGUGCCCCAUUAAAAGGUGGGGGUAAAGUGGGGAAUAAUUAAGCCCCUUUUUUUUUAGUUUUUUUUUUUUUUUUAAGGAAAAAGUGGUGAGAGAUGCAGAGGAUUCUUGUGGCUUAAGCUCCCCUCCCCCACGUCUCUUCCAUAAAUACGCCCCCAAGUGAAUUUACCAACUUACCCUUCGAUGCUCUUUAAAGUGAAAAUGCAAAUUUUUUUUUUUUUUUUUUUUGCAAUUCAAUAAUUUGAGCCGGAUAAAUUAAAUAUUAAUUAAUUUUAAUUAUUCAACUGAAAUAAUUAACACUCAAUAACACUUAAUAAAGUCACUGAAAUUGAUAAAACUCUUAAUUAAUAUAAUUAAAACAAUUCAAUUCAAAAAAGUUGAAGCUAAGACAGUGUAAAUCCAAACAUAUAAUAAAGGCGAUGGGGCUAUUGAAAAACCCUGUAGAGUUGAGGGUCCUCCGAGCAUUUUUUUAACCUGAAAUCUACGCAAUGUAAAGGCCUUAUCAGGGUAGUUUCGUAAAUUCGCGCGAGCGUAUUUAAUAAGAGGCUAUCCAUCUUUUUUCACCCGACUCCUCUUCCUAUCUCUCUCUCUCUCUACUCUAUUAUCCUUUUCCCCUCUCUCUCUCUCUCUUAUUACUCUGUUCUGAGUCUCUGGGGCAGUUUGGAACCCGUGAAGAGGGUUAAAAAGGUUUUCCUGCGGUGAGAAUAAGCGCUUUUUACCACCGAAGCUUAGUUAACUGCUAAACAGUGGUGCUUGCUCUUCAUCCAUUGUCUCGUUCUCGUAAAAUUUUCGUAUUUUUGGGAAUAAUUUUGAGGAUGGUGGGGGAUAAAAAUACGAUCUUUAUCUUUCGAACAAUAAUUUGGGUGAUGAGGUCGGGGGUUGGAGGGGCAUCUUUUGCCAGCGAGGAAGUUGAAGGAUCGAAGCUUUCUCUGAAAGGGAAAGCUGUGGGGGGGUCAAAGCUGGCAUUUUGCACCCCUUCCCCCUCCCCUUUUCUCUUCUCCCUCUGAUUCUGGGGAAGGGAGGGGGUCCUCGAUUCCUCCUCACACCUCCUUAUUAAGGCCCCUCUCUACACACCUCACCACUCUCUAGAGUAGAGAGACAGAGAGAGGGGAUUUGGGUUCUUUUCUUUUGUUUUCCUCGACCCAGUUUUUGGCUUUCUUUUCUUUUCUAAUUUUUUUUUUUUUUGUGUAUAUAUUAUUUCCUCCUCUGCUUCUUCUUCUCCUCCUCCUCCUCCUCCUCCUUCUAGGUUUGGUAUUGUAUUGGGGUUUCGUGUUUUCGCGUGGGGAAGAGGAAGGUGAUGCGUAGGGAACAAUGUCGACCUCCCCUUCUCUGGCCGCGGAGAAGAAGCAUUGGUGGCUCAGCAACAAGAAGGUGGGUAUCUUCUCUUCUCUCUCCUCCUCUGUUUCCUCUCUUCGCCAUUGGACUAGGGGGCUUUGGAGCCUCUAGUUUGGGAUUCCCUGUUUCGAUUUGUACUUCGGUGAACACGAGCGGAUGUUUCUUUGCUUCUGAUUUCUUAUGGUUUUUAGUUUCCUCAAUAGCCUCUUCUUUGUUUUGGUGUCUACACUGUGCUACUAUUUCUAUCUAUACAAACCAAAAAACUCCUUCCCCACGUUUCUAUUCACUUCUCCAGUCCAUUUCUCUCUUCAGUUAUGCGAUUAGCAAAUAAAAAUCUCAUUUUUAUUCCAAGGAACUUCACUGUUCUCACGUUGAUCACGUUGAAAGCUUCAAGCUUUGUCUCUUGUUGUUUUAUGCUCUCUAUUGCCGCCAUUUCCACUGUGUUUCGAAGACAUAUUUACGUGUAAAGUACUCUCCAUUGUUCUCCUCUUAGUCACAUUCAAACCUCCUCUGUUCUUUGCUCUGUGAUCUCUAUAGCGCCAUUUCCACUCAGUUUAAGAUAUAAACAAGUGUCAAAACGUGAAAUUUUCUUUUUUUCCCUUUCUCUUUUGUUGGGGUUGGGGGAUUUAAGAUCGUGGACAGGUACUUGCGCGAGGCGCGAGCGCUGAUCGCGCGGCGGGACGCGUCGGACGUGGCGGCAGCGGUGGGGCUUCUGGACGCGGCGCUCGCGGUGGCGCCGCGUCUCGAGGCCGCGCUGGAGCUCCGGGCGCGCUCGCUCCUCGCUCUCCGCCGCUACCGCGACGUGGCGGAGAUGCUCGAGGAGUACAUGCCCAGCUACCGGGGCGGCGCCGGCGCCGGAGACGACGACUCCUCCGGCGGGUCCCUCGGAGGCGGCGGCGGCGGCUCCUCCGGCGAGCAGUCGUCGCGCGCGAAGCUCCUCUCCCCCGAGCGCGAGAGAUCCGACCUCGGCGGCGGCGGCGGCGGAGGCUCCUUCCGGUGCUUCUCCGUCUCCGACCUCAAGCGCCGCGUCCUCGCCGGGUUUUCUAGGAACGACCACAGAGAAGGCCUGUGGAGGUAUUAUUUGCAAUUUACUCCCUCAAAUGUUUCACUUUUAACUCUCCUUGGUCCCCCAACUGCUUUAUUUAUUGCAAUCUACGACUCAUCGCGAGAAAAACAAAAUAUAGAUUUUCCUUAAAAUAGCCAUUUUAUCUUUUUUCUUAAAAUGCUUCUUCUUAUUUCCCUAUACUUGAACUAAGGCUUUUUUUUAAAAAAAACAGCUCAGCAAUAAAAAUCACAUUUUCUUACAGGGCACGGGGUAAAACUUCAACACACGUAAAAAAAACUUGUACGGGAGAAAAAUCUCUCAAUAUCUGAAUGGUACACUGGACGGACAAUCCAUAAAUUUUAUCCGUAAAAUAAAUUUUUUUUGUUUUUUAGUAACAAUUUGAGAAGUAGAACUGUUAAUAAUUUUAGUGAAUUAAUUACAUCUUCUUGUAUUGAAACCAACCAGCAUGGAGUUUAUUUGUACAAAGGCUAUUAAUUAAUUUAUUUUUGGUAAUUUUUUGGGAGUUGGAAUAAUAAUAAUAAUAAUAAUAAUAAUAAUAAUGAUAAUAAUAAUAAUAUCAACGGAGCUUAGAUUGAGUCACGGAGGACAGUUCAUGUGUGACGAACGAAUCCAACGCAAUGCAAUCCUCGUCCUGGAUUUCCCCGACCCACGAAACCAAAGCGCCCGAAGGGAAAUGACCGAUAUGCCCCUAAUCCGUGCCCCUCAAACGAGAGGGCAAUUUGGUCUUUUCGGUUGUGGCAGUACGUCACAUCUUAUCAGAUCCUUUUGUCCGUAGCACACCGCGAGCCUGUCCUUGCGAUUCAUCCGUUCCGCUUUUGCGCGCUCGAACCGGCCGCGGUGUUCGACCCGGUUUGGUUUGUCUUUUUUAAUAAUUUCUAAUAAUAAUUAAUAAUUGUUGUGGGAUGGGGGGGCCCGUGUAGGUACUUGGUAUUGGGCCAGGCCUGCUACAAUUUGGGCCUGAUGGAGGACGCCAUGGUGCUGCUCCAGACGGGCCGCCGCCUCGCCUCCGCCGCCUUCCGCCGCGAGAGCGUCUGCUGGUCUCCGACGACAGCUUCGCCUCCGCCGCCGCAUCCUCCCCGCCGCCGCCGCCUCCGGAGUCGGAGUCGGCGUCCCACCUGCUGGCGCACAUCAAGCUCCUCCUCCGCCGCCGGGCCGCCGCCUGCGCCGCCCUCGACGCCGGCCUCCCCGCCGAGGCCGUGCGCCACUUCGCGAAGAUCCUCGACGGCCGCCGCGGGUCCUCGGCCGCCGCCGCCGCGGGAGCCGGCGACGGCCUCCCCUGCGCCUUCGCCGCGUCGUGCCUCGUCGGCCGCGCCGCCGCCUUCCGCGCCGCGGGGCGCCCCGCGGACGCGGCGGCGGACCUGAACCGCGCGCUCGCCCUCGACCCGGCCUCCGUCCCGGCGCUGCGCGCGCGCGCCGCGCUCCUCGAGUCCCUCGGCGCCCUCCCCGACGCGCUCCGCGACCUCGACCACCUCAAGCUCCUCUACGACGCCAUGCUCCGCGACCGCAGGGUGCCCACGUGGCGCCGGGCCCACCGGGACGUCAGCUACCGCGACGUCCCCGCGGGGCUCCGCGCCCUCUGCGCGCGGAUCCAGGAGCUCCGGCGCCACGUGGCGUCCGGGGAUGGGGGGAAUCGCGUCGACUACUAUCAGUUGCUCGGGGUGCCGCGCGGGUGCACCCGCUCGGAGCUGGAGCGGGCGCACCUCCUGCUGGCGCUCAAGCACAAGCCCGAGAAGGCCGUCGCGUUCGUCGACCGCAUCCACUUAGCGGACGAGCACCGCGACCUGGACGCCGUCCGCGACCAGGCGCGGAUGUCGGCGCUGAUCCUGUGCCGCAUGCUUCAAAAGGGUUACGCCAGCAUCAUGGCGAUGGUUAUGAAUGAGGAGGCGGCCGAGAAGCAGCGUGCCAAAGAAACUGCGGCCGCAGCAGCCGCAGCGGCUGCCCAGCAAGCAGUCGCCAUUGCAGCUGUGGCGGCCGCAUCGAAAGUCGCACUGCAAGAGGAGAAGAGUUCGGGCGCAGCUGCGGUCGCCGCGACGGCGCCGGUGUACCAGGGGGUGUUCUGUCGGGACAUGGCGGUGGUGGGGAGCCUGCUGUCGCAGGCGGGGUUCAAUAGGGCGAUUCCGGUUAAGUAUGAGGCGCUGAGCUGUUAACGUUGUGGCAAAUAUGUGAUUGGUCUGGGCUGACAGGAACGUGAAAAAAAGGGCGGGAAGGUUUGAAUUGGUUGUCCGCGUUUGUACAGGGGAAAAGGGUAACAAGUUAUGGAAGGGGAAAUUUUGGCUCCACAAUAUGUGCUUCAUUGUUGUUACUGUGCUGUUAACUAGUCGUAUCGCCACUAUUCACUGUUAUUUUCUUAGUUAAGUUUCUGUUGCUCUGCUCUUGCUAUAAUUUCUAGCCUUUGCUUCUUCCUGUGUUUGUACAGUUCAAUUGGAGAUCUAUAUAUGGACUCUGAUCUUGUGAAUGUCUACUUGGUAUGUAAAAGAUUUAGUUACCUCGAAUCUCUUUCUGAUAAAUAAUCGGAACGUCUACAUUUGAUGAGAACAUGUUUGGACUUGCUGGAGUUUCUGUUAAAGUUCUGUUUGAAUAAUUGAUUAGAGUGUUGAAGAAGUACUAAAAUCUUAUCCUAACAUAAUUAAUUUAUGAUCUUGUGGUAUCUUAUUAGCUGCGAGAACGUCAUCUUAGCCUACUAAUACGAUGGAAAAUAGAAAGUGAAAUUCAGCAUACGAUGAUAACAACGACACUGUUAGGAAAUCUUAGAAGCCAAAUGUGUAUGGAUAAAUUUUUUUUUCUUUUUUACAUGAUUCACAAUUUGUUGUCACUACCGCAGAAGUGCUAAAGCUGCAAGCGGUUGAGUUUCAUGCAGAGUAAAAGCCACAGUACAAGAGGUACACGUACACACGUGGUCUUUGUGUACGUGAGGUGGCGUUCCCGGUUCGCCCCUAAAAAUGGUGUGGGAGCCCCUGCUUUGAUUUCCGCGUCGACAUCAAUCCCAUCCCUUUUACAGCCCAUUGAUCCGGUAGAGCGAGGCCAAGCUGUAGCUCUCCCCUCUUUCCUUUUCCUUUCAUAAAGCAUUUCCUUUCGUAGUCAUCCUCGAUGUACUCUAAUAAAGAGGCGGUUGGUUUCAAUUCACUUUUGUGUAUUUAAAAAAGAAAAUUCGAGCUCCUAAUGCGUGCCAUAAUUAAUUACUACAUAAGAUUCUUAAAAAUUACGUAGACGCGGAAAAUUUAUGAGUUUCACAAAUUCGACUUCGUCCGCUACACCACCGAAGUCGGAAAUUCGAGUCAUGUAUAAUUAUGAACGAGAGUUUGAGCGAUUUUACGAUAUCACCGUUGAAAUACGUGUUGAUGUAAACAGUUUUUUCGAAGUCACGAAUUCAAUUUUCCACGUUCACAAAAACAAGUGAAUCCUACGGAAUAUACAAUUAUUUAUUAAAAAAAAGAAGAAACUGUGAUUGGCUGAAAAAAUAGACCCAAAACACAGACACUGCAGUGCCUCUCAGUCAAUCAUUUAGGCGAGCAGCGUCUUUAUAUGGAAUAGAAACGCCGUGUUUUUGAACUUCCUAUUAAGAUAUAAUUCAAUCCAAAUGAACAGUAAACAUGUGCUCAACACGUGACUAACCUUCGGAGCACUCUUUGGAUGUUGUCAUCUUAUUAUAGAAUAAAAGAUUUAUUUAUGUAUAAUUUCAUUUCCUGCAUCAUGUGCUAGCGCUGGACAAAUUCGUGCAGUAUAUGGGCAUAAAAUUCAAAGCGAGGACUACUGCUCUUCUUCUGGGUCAAUCUCCACUGUAUUCUUUCACACCUUUUGGUAUCUGAACUGUGUUUGCAAAGAGCCAAACCUACUUACAAGUUAAUACAUCAUUAGCAAAUUAAUAAAGAGAUUAAUUAAGAGCUUGUUGUUCUGGGGUUAUCGGAGAAGCUGCCUCUUAAAAAUCAAACACCUUUUUGUGUUAAAUUUCUUGAUAAACCAGUUUGGUGCAUAAUUUAAAACAAACGGUUGUUGUUUCGUGUCAUAACUGUUCGGUAAAACAUUAUAUUUUGCAAAACAAAUUUGAGAACCUAAUUUGGUUCUUAUUAAAUUUUUUGUGAAUUAUUUCUGUAGUCUGAAAAACCAUAAAAUCAAUAUUGCUAAAAUCUGCCCCUUCAAUUUAUUUUUCCUUAUGAACGUGCCUAAGAAAAAAAAAAAAUCUAAUUACUCUUUUUUUAAAAAAAAAAAAAACUGAAAAUAAUCUAAAAAAAAUGUUCUUAAAUUAACUGCAUAAAUAAAUUUNGGGGGGGGGGGGGGGGGGGGGGGGGGGUGCGGCCGUGCGGGCCCCGCAAAGCCCAUAUGGGGAAGAACACCAAGGACACGUCACACCCAAUGAGAGUACGCCACGUGGACGCUUCAUAAAGCUGUCAUCAUGACGUGAGAGCCACUUUCUUUCUUUUCCCUGCACGCUAGCCGAUGCGGGGAGAGGGUAAGGGCGACGUGCGGCCCACGUGUCCUACCGUCAUGGGCCGCACGAAUUUCCAGGUGUCACCCAGCCAAUACAGUACUAAUUUAUUAGAUUAAUAAUAAUAAUAAUAAUAAUAAUAAUAAUUAUUAUUAUUAUUAUAAGGCGCAUUCCAACAAAUUUGAAUUCUUUGUAUAAAUAUUUAUAACCAAAAGAGAUUUUAAUUUGCAAAUACCCUCAAAAUAUGCAUAUCACAUAUACAGAUAGUCAAAAGUUGGGAAUAACAGGGUUCAUUUAUAUACAUAAGUAGGCCCUCAAAUAUUAUAUUUUGGGUGCAAGUUUCUGCUAUAAAACUUUUUAUUAUGAAAUUAAUGAUGGUUGUUUGGGAAUGCUACAAUUUUGCCUUAAAUUCAUCUAGUUUUAUGCAAGAUCUUGCUUUUUUAGGGAAAAUAUAGCAAGCUGCUACAUUUAUUUUUAAGUAAUAGACUUAGUUAUAAAUAUAAAACAACUAAUUUCAAACUUUAGAUCUCAAAUAUCAAUCAUUAAGUCCUUAAUCAAGUACAAUAGUUACAUUCAUUAUGUAAAAUUUUUUGAAUGGGGAUAUAUGCAUGCUGCCAUAAGUUUUUUUUUCAAAGAACAUAAAGAUAGCUUAUUAUGUAUUUCGGCAAGCACGCAAGCAAAUAUGUGUUAUUUCUUAAGAUCUAAAUGCAAGUUCUUUUUUUUUUUUCUUUUUUUUUUUGAGAAAAAGAUAGCAUGCUAGCAAGUUCUAAUUUUUAAGAGCUGUUCAUAGUAAUAACUCAACUUCGAGCAAUUUAAAUGCAAAAUUUUCUCUUUCAUAUCCUGUAUACAUAUAUAGAUAUAUAUCUAUUGUUUAAUUGCAGGGAUUAUAGUGUAAAUUGCAUUUUUUAAGCAAAUCACUAAUAUUUUAUUGUUUUCAUAUCUGUUUUUUACUUGAUUUGUUAUUUGAUUAAGAGACGUGGGGGUGAACAAUGUAGUGGUACGUACUGUAGGAGUAUUUUAUGUGUUUUUCUCAUAGUGAGGAGUCAAUCACGAGGAAUAGUGGCAUAGACAUGUCUCCAUGUAUUCCUAUUGUUAACUAGAGAUUAAUUUCUUAAAAAAUAAAACAUAUUUAGACAUCAAAGUUUUAAAUUAAUAUUGUAUAUAAAGAUAAAUUACGAUUUCAAGAGUCAAAUAAUGAAACUCAAAUUUAGAAGUAAGAAUAAUAAGAUACGUGAUUCUCACAUGCAUGAUUCUCAUACACAGUGAUGUUUCUUCGAAUUAAUGAUCCAAUCGUAUUCUGAUAGUUUUCUGAUUCUAGUAUGAAGUUUUAGUAUCUCACUCGUAGAUAGUAGCAGUGACAUAAAUAAAGAUUAUAAGAGCGAUUUCAUCUUUUCACCAAGCCCAUAAGCCACACUGAUAAUCUCCAGAUAAGAAGCACAUCUUUACAGGUAACAUUGGUUUGGUUCGUAUGUAACUUGUAGAGAAAGAAAAAGAAUAUAAAAUGCAAAGCUAUAACUCUAAUAUACUAAUUACUUAAUUACUACUAACAUUCUUAAUGCAUUGUCACCUAGUGAGGUGUGAACAACGAGGGGUGGCAUUAUCAUGUUGAUGCGGACAUGUAAAGCAACAUAUUCUCACCACCCCCACAAAAUUAUUUUAUUACCUAAUUUUAAUAAUUCGAAUAUAAUAUUAUAACUUUUAUCAUAUUUUAUUGAGUCAAUGAUAAAAUAUGGUAUUAAAUAAUUCUGACAAAUCCAGUUUAUCAUAACUAAUAAUGGAUUUUUGUUUUAUCUUUUGGCGAAGGAAAAGUAGAAUAAUGCACAGCUUCGUAUAAGGGGGAGAGCACACAAAUCACAUCAAUUCAACUAUUACGGCUCUACAAAAAAAGGACCCAAACUAAGGUAAUAUUACCAAACUGCCAUUAGGGAUUUAACUUUAUUUAUUACGAAAACAAAAGAUAAGAAUUAAACUCCUGUAUUAUUUAAAAGUAUCAAAUCAUUAAUAUCCGUAGAGUUUCGUUUUUUCUAAUUAAUAGAUAUAUGGUUAGAAUGGUAAUGAUCUUUUAGAAUUGAGUUGAUAUUAAUUGAAUAAUAUGAUCUAACUGAUAGAAAUAAUCAAAAUGGUAGAUCUUACGAUAAAAAACUUACAAGCACAAAGUGCUUUGUACUUUUACAAGCACUAUAUAUAUAACCUAACUCACACUAUAAAUAUAGUUAAAAUAUAUUUGGCAAAAUAUUAACUAAUAUUAUUUUUUGAAAAUAUUAAAAGUGAAAAUUUUUUAGAAGUUAUUAGUUAGUUCAACAGUUAUUAUUUAUAUAUCUCCUAAGAUAUAUAUAGAGAGAUUAUGGAUUGAGUGGGCAUUAAAAAUAGAGCUAAUUCUCUUAAAAUUGUCAACUUUAAAAUUUGGCCAAACUCAAACUCUCCUUCCUCUUAGAUCCCAAAUAUGCCCUUCAAGGUAAGCACAUUUAGGAUGUGAUUUAGGGGUGUUUUAGUCAAUUCGGGCACUGCUAGUGUUCCAGGGAACAGAGGGCAAUGGUCGAGGUUGGGUCAUGUGAUGGAAGGAGGGAUGUGAUGGGUGAUGAUUGAAGGCACGUGACACUAACCAAGAAUAGGAAUAGUAGUGUUGGGAUUUAAAUAUUUACUAAUCACAGGUUUAAUGGGAUAAUUAAGAGAAUUAAUUAAAUAUGGUGUUAAAGGUGGUGGUUGCAGCUAAGAUUCACUGGGUGUUGGGGCUGGAUGGCACGUGCGGAUGGGUCAGAUCUCACAUGGGGCUUGACCAGGGCUUAAACCCUUUUCACACAAAUGAGCUCAUCGCUAGUAAGAUUACCAAACUUAAAAGAGUUUUUGUUUGGCAAUGAAAAUAAAAAAUUUAGAUUAUUAGAUUAAGCAGAUGUAAAUGCGUAAUGUUGUUUGAUAGAAUAUUAUACUACCCGAGCUAUUAGAAUGAACAUUAUUUUAAUAUUCUUUAAAAAUUAUAGCAAUAUUAAAAAUAUCAAAUUGAAGCAAUUUUCUUUUCGAUUUAAUUUUAUUUCUAUUUUUCAUUAUAGCUGAAGUUCUAAAUUUUUUUCUUUUCCAAACGUACGCUUCAUCUAAUGUUGUUGUUGCCAUUCCGAGCUUCAACUACAAGAAAUAUCUAUUAGAGAAUUUUAAUUUAAUAUAUUUUUUAAAAUAUGCUAUUUAAGUAACACUUUAUUCAACGGCACUAUAUCUUGUGAUAAAUCAAACAUAUAUACACACACACACACACACACACACACACACGUAAGAGGAGGGAGAAAAAUGUCCCACGCGCGAGAUCUGAGGGUCGUAAAGUAUUCGCCCAUGUGGACGGAAGGGAUCAGAUCACGUGUAUUAAGAGUGAGAUUUGAUGCUUGUAUUGGCUUUUCGAGACCAGUUUUGAGUAUUAAUUUGAAAGGAGAUCUGAAUGUUAGUUUAAAUUUUAGAAAUAUAACCUUUUGAUUGCUUUGACAAAAGAGUAAAAGAGUAUCUUAAGUUAAGCUCAAAUUAUUUCUUAAAGUUUAUGAAAUAACGCUUUGUUUAAGAAAGCCGAUAAUAAUGCGCGCCGAUCAAGUUGUGAGGCACUAUAAAAAGAAGUCCUAUAAGAGGAUAUUUUUAGGAAAAGUACUUCUAUUAUCAUUUUUAUCUAUUGUUCGUAGUAUAUAUUAUACAAUCUCUAAUUUAGCGGGCCAAAUUUUUUAAGAAAGAAAUCAUAUAUUGUAUCAUUCAGCCACUUAUUGCAAAUUUCACAUGACUUAUGAACAGACUUUUAUAAUACAAAAUUAUUUCAAGUACUAGCUAAAUAAAAAGUCGGGGCUUUUGCUAUGACAAAAAAGUUCUAGAGUGCCAGUAUAAAUGAAAGUUUCAAUCUGCGAAAGUCUUUACGUCAACUGCGGUUCAAUUUUGCUCAAAUAAUACUUCUGUCGCUCCAACCGGGCCUCAUGGGCUAGAUCAUAGUUCAGAUGCCUUUUACUUUGGGUAUAUGGGCCAAGCCAAAUCCACCUGAUGAGCUUAGUCAAAAUGUGUGUGCAAAUCUAGUUUGGAUAUAAGAUCUCUAUGCUUAUAUUAUUUUCGACUUGGUUGGUGCGCCGAACUCAACGAACCUAGCCCCAUAGUGAGAAGUAAUUAAUUUUUGGAGAAACUUCAAAUACCACACAUGUGAUUUCGUAUUUUUUUAUUUCAAUACCUUGUGGUUUAAAGUGCAUCAAUUUAGUUAAAACUAAAAUAUACUAAAUUAAAUAUUUGAUAAACCUAGAUAGAGUAUCUAUAGUUUUUUGUAUAUAAUUUAACGAAAUGUUAUGUUAAUGAAGGAGCUGACAAAAAAAAAAAAGAAAAAAAAACCACAAGGUACUAAAUUGAUACACUUUAAACCACAUAGUAUUAAAGUGAGAAAGUGCGAAAUCACCGGGGUGGUAUUUGAAGUUUACCUUUUAUUUUUAUUUUUGAGGUAGGACACAAGCUCAACUUGAUGAGCAAAUCUUAACAAUAAUUCAUGUAAUUUAGUGAUUGAAUAUCACCCUUGGCCUCAUAAAUAUCAUUGUUUCAUGUAAGAUUCAUUUGUAAUUGCGCAAAGAGAAACAAAAAACAUAGUAAUUAAAACACACCACGCCGUCAAUCGAAUAGUAGUACAAGUGUGAAAAGUUUUACAUCUCUUGAAACAUGAUGUUGUACAUGUAAUAAAUGAAGCAAGAAGAAUGUAAUUUUACAGCAAUCAAAGUUCAUCCUCACCAUCUUUUCUUAUUGUACACACUCUCUCUCAUCUUUGGAGGCAUGAAGGGUUUCUGAUACCUCCAAAUUGCUAUAGAAGGAAUUGGCUUCUUACAUUCUUCUUCAUCAAUGUGCUUCAUUCAUUACUUGCUCCAUUGUAGCCAAAGAGUAGCCAAAAAUAUUGGUAUCCAUGAUGUAAUGAGUUUAGGAAUAAUGAGUUCGUUCCCAUUGUUCGGUGCAAUCGUCAUGUUUCCGGCAUGAGCCGCAGCAAGUGAACCUGCUAAUUAUGUUAACAAAGAGAAGUUAUUCGGGAAGCUGAGCUGAACCUGCAGUUAUUGCACUAGUUUGGAAACUAGGAGUGUGCUUGAGCAAACCCUAGCCUGCGUAACCAGUUCGGUCGAACCGGUAUACGGGUGUAAUUGGUUCGGCUUAAUCAUAUGGAUCAAUUUAUUGGUUACGGGAUAAAGAGCCCAAGUAGUUAAAAAUAGAAGCAUCAACACUAACUUGGUUCGGUUGGUAGAGAUGACCAAAGCGAACCAAUACCAAAAAUCGAAAUUCCACAAAUAUAUAUCCAUAUGGAACCGGAACGAAAACCAAUUUAACAGAACCAACUACAUUUAUUUGGUUUGAUUCAGUUUGGUUUUCAGAAUAGGACUAUUAGAUCCCACUAGUACGUAUGUCAAUUGUGGGCCGAUACCUACAAGUUCAUCUAACUUCGAAUCUAAAUGGCACGUGUUUAUCUGAUAUAGGAAAAGGAAAAACUGACGGGUUCGAAUUUGGAUAUGAAUUUUGUCGGUAUCAGACCGAACCCAAAUAUAAUUUAUAUUAUAUUAAUAUAUAUGAUUACUUGAUGUGAUGUUUGAAUUUAUAUUUUGAAAAAUUAGAUUUCACAUAAUAUAUUGUGAAAUUUGGUAAAAAAAUAAUUAUUUCAGGUUUGAAUUUUCAGGUUCAGAUUCAAGUUUUUGGAAUUUUGGUCGGGUUCAAUUUUGGAUAUAGAUUUUUAAAACCCGCCAAGCUCAGAUUCCGGUUCAGAUUUCAUGUUUGAUAUCGGAUUUGAGCUCGAGUUUUUGAAAACUCAAACCGAAUCCAACUAGUUAACAUCCCUACCCGCUAGAGAGGCAAGGAUAAAAAUGAGAUUUCAAUCUAAAAUUCUACGUAAUCUUAUGUUUGCUCCUUCUCUCUCGUCUUAUCUGAUUCAAUCUAAUUCUAUUACAUUCCAAACAAGUUUCUAAAUUCUAAAUUUCAACAAGAGAAUUGAAAACUCACCUCCACUGCCGCCAUCCGAUUGAGAGCCACCACUGCUGUUAUUCCCACUACCAACACCACAUGACAUUUGAAAUAUGGCCAUAACUCCUUGCAUGAGCCCUGGGUUGUACCCUUGAAAAUUGGCCAUAAUCCCGUUUACGCAGUUCAUGAUCAGCAUCAUUUGCCCAAAGCAUGGCCCAUUGCAUAAUCCCGCGGUCGCAUUAGAUGUCGAAGUAGACGCCGUAAUGUUUUUCUUGAAAGGGAUUAGCCCAGUGGGAGCAGGAGGAGCACCAGUAGUGUGGUUACUAGUAUUGGCAUUAGUUGCAUUUGCAGUUCCAUUCAAGUUUAUUCCCAUUGAUUGGAGGCACCCAUUGAUCACCUACAAGUUUUAUGCAAGUGUAAAGUAAAGAGGUGUGCUAUUCUCGCCGACUCGGUGAGCCAAAUCGGCGAGGACCGCCGCCCCUUCAUCAGACGGUAUUUACUGAUUCCACGAGCCAAAUCGCUGAAUCGACAAAUUUAAUUCUUUUCCUAAAGUUAAAAAAAAAAAAAAGAAACAGUUUUUCUAUUCUUACAAAUAGUAGUUGAGUGUUUGGCGAAGCAGAAGAUGCGAUUCAAACUUUUGCUUUUCUUAUUUGAAAGGAUUUUAAUGAAGAAAAAUAUUUGCGAAUUAUAUUUUUUUUGAAUAGUUCUAUUCAAACAGCACUUACUAUUACAGUUUUUAAUGAUUAUCGUAUAAAAGUAAAGAUGUUCUUACUGUACGAUUGUCAAAGCAAAGAGCUGCGCUGGCUACAAUCUGAACUGCAUCUUGUGCUGCAUCAUAAAAUGAAGAGAGAGAUUUAGAUAAAACUUUUUGUUAUCUCAAACACCAACAAAAAGAAAAAAUGAUAAGAAAUAAGAUAAGAAAGAGAAGAAAGAUAUGGGGAAGAGUGACUUAAUUUACAAGAGGAGAGGAAGUUAAAUUACCUCUACAACGGGAACAAGCAAUGCAAAGUAGAGCAGCUGCAAAGAAUAAAUGCUUUAGAGUGAGAGAAGCCAUAUGAAAAAAAAAAAAAUUGAAGAAGGAAUAGCUUCUUCAACAAGAGCAAAAAUGAGCACUAUUUCACCUCCAUCUUAGGUUGUAUGUAUAUAUAUAUAAGCAACCCUAUUACAUGCACUAUUAACAUAGGAAGGGAACUAUUAUCCAACCUACACACACUUGCCCAUGAUUCUUAAUUUGCACCAAGAAACCUAGCUAUCGCUUUCAAGCAGAUAAAACUAUGACUAUUUCUAGGUCAUUUCUCAUUUCUCAUUAUUUUUUCUUGCAUGGUAUCAAAGUCGGUCCUCAUUAAAUCUUUUAAUUAUGUAGGGAUCAUAGUUUCAAAUUUUUCGUAAGUCGUAAUAAUUAUGCUUGUUUGGUCCUACUUAUACUUCUACGUUCAGUAGCAACAAUAUUAUUGGUUUUUAUAUAAAAAAUAUGGAAGUUCAGAACUUCUGCUGUUGUGAGAAAGAGAAAUGAGAUUGUAAUAUCUAAAAGCAAAAGCUCCAAAUUAGCUUCUUUUUAUCUGCUGCAAAGAAAAAAAAAAUUAAAGAGAAAGAUCUCAAUUUAAUGAUAUAUAUAUAUUUAUAUAUAUUAAUGAACUUAGCUGAAAAUGUGAAGUACCUAGAAUAUAAACUUGAGACUUUAGAUAUUUACCCUCAAGUCUUUUGCCACUUAUGCUAAAAGACAGUUGCUAUAGAGAAGAACUAUUGGAAGGAAUUAAAUAUGGUAUUUCUUUUGAUAAUAUAUUCAAUAAUACUUCAUCAAAUAGCAAUUCACCCUACAUAGAUCCUUGGUAGCUAGGUUAAAAGUCCUAUUCAACAUUGCUUGUGUAUAGGAACUAUUUUGUAUAAUGUCAACCAUUUGUGUUAAAAGAAAAAGAAAAAAAAAAAAAAAACCAUGCAUUAAUUGGUUGCUGUUACUAUGGUUUCACCAACAGUAAUUAGCCACAUAAUUUAUCAUUUAAUUUGGCAUUAACACCUGAGAUUUACCAAUUUUUGGUAGUAAUAUAUGAGCUCAUAAGGAGGUGGGUGGAGUGUUUCCACUAAUUCCACAUUGGCGAACCUAAAGUUAGUUUUUGGUAGUUUUUAUUGAAGGGGGAGGAUGCAGAGUUUGGUGCACAACGAUCAACAAACUUUCACUUGUCUCAAAGACUUUGUUUCUUCACAAGUACCCAAUAAUCAAACCUACACAAGGCUUCAUAACUCCCACUUUAGGAAUUUGUCUCAUCAUUUAAUGUUUUGCAUAUUUUUUAUUGGUGGAUUGAUAGUGACCUUUCUCAUUAACUGAUGCCUAAUAUGGUAGAUGGUGCGUAUUUACCUAGCUUAGAAAAUUUUAGAAAUUGAUUGUUUGAUUGACUAAACUUUCAAAAACUUUUGUUACAACAGAAACUGAAAUAAACUUUUGAUUCUCAAAACAUCUUAAGUUUUAUUUUAAAGUUUCUGUUUCGAAUUUUGGUGUAGUAUCCGACGAUUGAUUAGAUUUCAAUGGAAAAGAACCGAGUACUUUUUCACACAAUAUUUUUUUAUUAAAAAAAAAACAACUUUAUCUGGCCUUCUAGGGCCUUUGUAGAUCAUAACUUUCUCUGGAAGGCCCUAGAAGGCCACUAUAAUGGGCUCAGCUAUAAUGGGCUGGUAUUGGAUUUUUCUUGGGCUUAUUUCGAGCCUAUGCAGUAUAUUGGGCCCGGCCAUUAAACGGCCCAAGAAUAAACUGCUUCUAGACAUUUGUGUACUAACAUAUGUUCCUUAACAAAUAAAAAUUGUUUUAAAAUAAUUUAGUUCAACUAGUACUUUUUAAUGUACGAACCAUAGAGAACCUUAGGUCCAUUUUUAAUAUCACUAUUAGUUGGUUCUUUUUAUAUUUUUUUUUUUAAGUUGCUUGCGCUAGAGAUUACGUGUUCUAUUGAAUUGUACAAGGAAAGAAUUAAGAGUAAUUUCUUAUUCAAAUGGUUGUAUAUAAAAAAAAAAAGUGUGUGUAGUAGUCAAAGUGUUCAACGACCUUCCGUUGACUACCAUGUCAUGUAAAAUAAUUUUUUUAGAGCACGUUAAUGUCGAACUUUUGAUUAUCGCAAUAAUAAGUACGCUUAAUAAUUGAUAAUUGUGAUAGAAAUAGGGAUUUUACUGCAUAACGGAAAUAAUACUUUGUUUGAAAAUAUUUUUGGUGACAAAAUUGAGAAUAAUAGGUCUUAUUACAACAGAAGAAUACUAUACUACUUAAGGAGCUUACUUAGUAUUGCUUAUUCAAAUAUAUACACAAGUAAAACAACAAAAAAAGAUCCUAAUUUUGGUUUACAACAAUUUUGAAAACUCUAUAAAUUAAUUCGAGUGUUCGACAUUGUUUUUGAGAAGGAAACUCUUGUGCGAACUCAGAUAAAUAGAAUUAAGCAUCUAAAUAUCUAGAAGUAGGAUUUGAAUUUGAAACUUCAAUUUCUUGAAAAAUUUAUUGAUGCAUCCAAUUAAUGAUGAAUUAAUAUAAAAAUAUCUACUGAUGAAUUAAUAAGCCUUUACUAUUUUAGGGGGCCAAAAAUACACUUAGUUACAACAAAAUAUUUUAAUUUAUUGGGCUAUUCUGGUCAGUUAGGUCACUAAUGACAGGCUUAUGAGUUAACCAAAUAGCAAUAGAAAAUAAUUAAUUUGUAGGACACAUCGAAAUUAAUAAAAAGAAUGAAUUGGUUUAGUUUGCGUGCACUUCAUGAUAUCAUAAUGUUGGAGUACAUGCAUACAUAUAUAACUAGGCAAUCCCAUGAAAACCAUGGCCUCUUCAUCUCUCUCUCUCUCUCUCUUUCUCUCUCUCUCUCUCUCUCUCUCUCUCUGUGAAGUGUUGAAGUGAGAAGCCCUUGUCAAAAUGGCUUCGUCUCUUUCUCUGAAAAUUUGGUGCUUCUACAUAUAUGUAGCUCUAAUUUGCUUGUCCACUUCUCGGUCCAAUGCAGGUUUUUGCAACUUCUCUUAAUUAUUUCUUGCUAUUGCUUUUUCUGAAAUAUGAUUAGUUUACUACACGCGCCAAACAAGAUGUACAUAAUCUGUAGUUACUCGUUUUUAUUGAUUAUACUAUCCAUUAAUCCCAAGAUGAGAGUAUUACUAUAAAAUCUUCAUCAUAUUUGUCGACGUCAAUUAAUACUCAUUACAUGAAUAAUAUGAACUUAUGCAGAUCAAGUGGCUGGAGAAGCGGGAAAAGAAAUGCUGUGCUUCGACGACAACUACGUGAGUGCAUGAUCAUAGCACGUGAAUUCUCAAAUAAUUAUAUUACUUACGUUUAUAUUCUUAACUAAUCUAGCUACAUUGCACGCAUGGUAACAUAAUUGAGAAUUUUGCAUAAUCGAUCCCUCAUGCUUACUUUUCUACAUGCAUACAUGAUAGCAUAAUUGAAAAUUAUGCAUGCACGUCAUUGAAUGUAGAACAAUAAUUAAUGCCAUUGCCAUGUUUUGCACCCAUUACUUGUUCCUUUAUAUUGCACUUAAUUUUACUGUACAAAGCAAAAUGUAAAAUUUUGAGUUUGCUUUUCCUAUUGUAUAUACUAUCCCCUAGGGAUAAGAGAAAUCACACCCAUGCACAUAUAUAAUAUACCUUUGAAAAUUUAAUUUGAGCGAAUAUAACUGUUCAAAAAUGAAUUUGUCCUAGCUAACAUAUAUAAUUAUAGUUCUCUUCAUAUGCAUGUGUCUCUUCUACUGGCCAAAAGAUAUACAGCAGCUGCGAGGACCAGUACAGAUUGAAAGCAGAAGGGAUCAUCGGGGUCGCUCCGGAGGCGACCGACGAGUACUGCGAGGGGCCAUGCUUCGAGGAGACGAUGCGCGUGCUUCUAUGCAUCGACAACACGCUGCAUGGUGAGUUCAGGUUCGAGAACAGCGCAUCGGUGGAAGACGCACGGAAUGCUCUCCAAAGAGGGUGUAGCCACACUGAUAAAAGAGGUGCCUAUCAUUUUUCAACUUUAAUUUUUUGACUGUAAGACGCAGGAUGAUUUUUCUAGUUGUCGCCAUGAUACCGAGAAUAUAGAGGUUUGAUUUUCUCAAGUUUUGAAUAAGAUUGUUCUAUUUGCAACGCAAAAGUAUCAUGCGUUUGAAUCAUGAAAAGAUUGUUUAAUUCUGUUAAGGAGACUUCGACGACGUUACGGAGCGCCCGGAAGGCCAUCAUGACAAUGAACACGGCGACGAACAUGGGGACGGAGUACACGGGGACGAAGAGCACCACCAUGAAGAGGGAGACUUCUAUGACCAUCCCGGUGAAUUCGGAUACUUCGAUCACGGCAGUAAGCUGGACAUCUCCACCGUCCGUUUGAUGAUGAUGAUGAUGUUCGUGAUCAGUGGGGCUCUGCUUCUAUUGAGUUAGCGAGCACUUGUACAGUUGUAGUACAACUCUUGUUCACUAUUAAAUGAGAAGUGGAGGUUGUUAGAUUGUAAACAUGAAUUUUGAACCCACUACCCCUUUGAUUGGAUGCAGUAUAUCCCAAGGUGAUAUCGUUCGUAUGCAUGUUCCACAAUUUCCUUCAAGAAUUAAUAGAAAUGAGCUGUGACUUGAUAAGAGUAGUUUUACUCUCAAUUUCUUUUUCCUUUUUUUUUUUUUCAAAAACAAAAUUGUGUUGGUAAGAGCAUUUUUGGCCGCACCUCUGCUUUUCCACGGUACCAGUACAAACCCCUCCAACCAGGCCAAAACAAGCCGCUGAUGAAGCUCCAAAGUUCAUUACGCUCAGAAGAUCAAAAAUUACUUUGGUCAUUUAGCUCUUCAUUGGCAACUCGCCUCAUCCCAUCACAUGGAUUGGUUGCCACAACGCAGAAGGAGAAUCAUUGAUUUAUAGCACCUCCUAAUUAAUCUUAUAUAUAUAUUUAAUUUGGAGCCUAAUUGUUUGAUGCAUCUCCCGUAAUUGAACCGACUAAAAUCGCCUUCAUUAUCUUUCAGGCUUAAAUGUCAGCAGUGUGACAUAAACAUCCCACCCCAGUAAUUGACCCGGCUAAAAUUGCCUUCAUUAUCUUCCAGAUCUAAAUGUCACCGCUACGACAUAAACAUCCCACCCAAGAAUAAUACUUUUGUCCCGGUUUACCCAAAGACCCACAGAAAUUAAAAAGAAGAAUUAUUUAGUACAAGUUACGGUAACCCAAUACAACAAUUUAACCAACGUUAAUUGUGUUGUUUACGUAUCCUGCACCAACUGGGUGGGUAAGAGAAACGAGAAGAACAAGAAUCUGCCUCCCGCAUCUCCCCUACGUUCUUCAAUUCCCGCAAGAGAAAUAACUUGGUUCGUCUCUAAUUUGUUGCGCAGCCAAUGCGUCGGUAUCCUCGCACUGGAAUAGCGGCAAAUCAGAUUUCACUAGAAAGGAAACAAAAUUACUCCCGUAAAAGGAAGAAAUUUACUCUAAGCAGAUAUCAUCUUCAAAUUCCAAAUACUCGCACCUUAUUCCUUCUAACAAAUGGUCACCACCAUCUCAUCAGCUCGCCCAUGCUAAAAAUUUCCAGCUCGGAAAUUUACUCCCACUAAAAAUGUAUUUGUGCUUCAUCAUGGACAUACAGUACAAGCGACAUUUUACACUACAAAAUAAAAGGCACAUCGCAAGUUAUCCUUGUAGGCUAGCAAUAAGUGUUUUGCACUAAACGCCUAGCAAUGGUCUUAAAUACUAGCUUUUCAAGACCAGCUCAUUGUCAACCACCGAUCAACAUUAAAAUUCGACAUGCACAAAAGUUAUAAAUCAAUUCACUAGGAGAAAAUUUUAUUAUACUACACUGGAUAAAUUAAAAAGAGUGCUAGAGCAGUACACUGGAGAAGCACGACUCUAUAGAACUAUGAAUCAUCUUUCUAGGAUGUGGUAGAUCAGAUAUCGGCUAGCCCCACGAGCUUCUUGUAGAAUAUGCGGUUAUCUCUUGCAGAAUUGCUCUCAAAUAGAGCACUCUGUACCAUUUCCUAUUUAUAAAAAAACAUGGGAGUAGAGUGAAAAAAAGGAAGUAAAACCCAGUUUAGCAUGUUCAUUUGGUAUAUAAAAUAGUAUUACUACUAACCUUGACAUCCCUAUGGGAAAGGAAUUUUCCUAGAUUAUGAAUGAUGCACCUCAAAUCUUCUACCUGCAAUAAGUAAAUUCGGUAUUACUUAUUGAAAGAUAUGCCAUGAAAGAUUCCAAUAAAGUAAACGAUUAGAAUUACUUACUGUAAUGUAGCCCACUCUAUUUUGGUCGAAGUACCUAAAUGCCUAAGAUGAAUACCAGAGCCACAUCAAAGGUAAACAUAUCAGAAAAAUAAAGCAGAGAAAUAUAUAAUGAACAAAGUGCUUAAAUGCCUAGUUUCGGCUGGCUUUUGAAACUUCUCUACUCUAAGCACAUGCUUGGGUAAAAGACUAAGCUUUUGCUUUGACAGAUGCUGAAAUGAGUAGUUAGGCAACAAAAGCACAAGCUUUACUUUGUAGCUUCUGCUUACGCAGCAAGAAGCUGUUAGGGGAGUUCAAUGAGAAAAAGCAGACAACGCUUCUUCAAGGAACUCUACUCUGCAUGAAUAAAUUCCAGAAUAAAGAUUUAGAACAAAAAAAAAAUGGAGCAGACAGUUACCUGCAAUAGUUCCUUAUCAACAACAUCCUCCUUUGCCAUAUCUUUCUUCUCUGAUGCAGUUUGUUUAUCCCCUUUAGCAUCAGAUUUUUCAUCCAUCCGUGCUGCUUUUUGAGCACCAUCCCCUUUUGUACCAGAUUUUUCAUCACCCUUUGCAGUUUGAUCCAAGCUUUGCUCAUUCACAAUUUCUUUGAUUUUAUCAUUUUCGUCAGUCGCUUUUUCUUGCCCAGCCUCCACAUUAUUUGUUUUGUUUGCAUUUGCAUCCUGCAGAAUGGGAAAAAAAAAAUCAAAAUGUUCAGCACUUCAAGUUUCUAAUGCAAAAAUUCCUACUUAAAUAGUAGAACAAGAGUCCCUAAGAAGAAUUCUCUAGAAAAUAAUAGAAAACUGUUAAAACCAUGCAGCAUUAGAAAUUCCAAUAUUUUAGAAUAACACAAAACAGAAAGGAUAAAAUGCAGAAAAACCCGACCGAUUUAUCGUAACGUUAAACUUAACCUCUUGUAAAAUUGAGGGGAUUUUCUAAAGAUCUCUUAUCAAGGGGGUAUUGCGGAAAACAUAAUAGUCCAAAGGAGGAUUAUGCAUGUUAGCCUGAAAACAGAGAAUGGGAGAAAGAAUAAUUACAUCCUGAUCUGCAGCAUCAUUUGGGGCAGCGGCAGCAUCAUCCAUUUCCUGAUCCUCCUCAACAAUUUCCUCUGGAUCUUCUUCUUCCUCCUCUUCUUCAUAUUCUACAUCAUCAUCUUCAAUUUUGUUUUCUAUUUUGGGCUCAUCUGGGACAGUACCACUUGCAUCUAGAGCCAUAUUCUCUUCAUUAGCAUUUUGGUUUGAUGCAUCCUUCUUUUCGGAUUUUGUAGGGUCAUUUUCUGUUGGAGUCUCAUCAUUUGUCUUCACACGUUUUUCUGAGGCAUUUUCAUCACCUUUCUCAGAUUUUUCAUCUCUCUGUCUUUUACGUUGGUUUCUUCUAAUUACAUAUCUUCUCCGUAAUCUCUGAAAAUAUAAAUAUGAGAGCACCAAUCAAAGAUAAUAAAGAAUUUAACAGAAAGCAAGAUUUGAAAUGUACCUCGAGAAAAGCCAAGAGCCGACAUCCCAUUUGGUACUGAAGCAUUUCAUUAAACGUCUCAGCAAAUAGUGAAAGCUACAAAAGUUUAACAGAAUAAAUAAAUGUCCCCAAAUAUUACUACAACUACUACAAGAGCUAACAAAAUGAACAAAAAAUUUAUAAUCAGGUAAAGUUCUUUCUAUCUAGGGCUCUAAUUACAAUCUCAAUUAUUUUUUUUUAAAAAAAAUAAAAGGCGCAAACACUUUUUCAAUAUAAUUGCCUAUUAGGAGAAGCAAAAAAAAAAAGCAAACCUCAAAAGUUGACUCCUCAAUGUCUUUCUCAUUAUAAUCAAGGAGCCCAACAAGCGAAAGUGCCAUUGAGCGAAUCUGCAAAAUAAACUAGAAUCAGACAAAGAAUCAACUCAAGCAAGUCAAUUAAACAGUCCCAACUGUACAAAAAUAAGAAGCUAAAAGCUUCAAUGAAAUCAUACUUUAGAUCCCCUGCCCCGUUUCGUCCGCACGACAAAUCCUGGGUUCUUGGGGGGUCCUUCUACCUUCUCUUUUUCCUUAACAUCUUUCCUCAUUUUUUGCUUGGAGGACUCAUUCUUUGCAUCUUUGCUCUUACUCUCUUUCUCAUCCUUUCCAUCUUUGUUAUUUUCAUUCUUUGUAUCUUUGCUCUUACUCUCUUUCUCAUCCUUUGUAUUUUCCUUCUUCCCAUCUUUGUUAUCUUCCUUAGAAUCCUUUUUUCCAGAUUCAUGAUUGCUCUUAGUGCCUUCUUUAUUCGUAGUAGAUUUACUUUCAUUAGAAGGGCCUUCCUUCUUUCCUCCUUUUUCUUCUUUCAUUUUCUUAUCGCUAGAGGUUUCUUUCUCAACAGACGGGGACUUGAGUUCUUCUUUUAGACCAACUUGACUCAUUAUGCCUUCUUUGCUUGCUUCAUCACUUUUGUUAGGGGCAGAAACUUUUCUCUUAACCACCCUUCUAAUGAUUUUCUUCUUUCCAGGUGUCUUAACUCCAUCUUUUCUUGUUUCACCUUGGCCUUUGUUAUCUUGAGUAACUGAUUCUUUUUCAGGUUUCUCCUCAGUCUUAGUCUCAACAGUCUUAUCCUCUUUAUUUUCCCCUAUGGUAUUAGUAGUCUCUUCUCCGCUAACUGGAGUUGCUUUCUUGCGAAUUACCCUUCCUUUAACCACCUUCUUAAUGAUUUUCUUCUUUAUGGGCUUCUUACCCUUGACUGCUGGUACCACAGGGGCCUCAUUGGGAGUUGAAGUUUCAUUAUUUAUGCCUUCAGCAUCCACAGCUUCUGCAUCCUUCUUCUUGAUCUGUUUUUCAUUUAAAGCAGGAUUUUCUCCUUUAUUCUCAGUUACAUUUUUCUUAGCUCCAAUAUUGCCAUCUUUUUUCUGUUCGUUUGUUUUUUGAUCAACUUUAUCAACUUUGCUUGCAGCUUUGUUAGAUAUUUCAUUUUUAAUGGAAUCGUCUUUGGCAGCUUUUUUCUGACUUUGAUCCCCUGAAGAUAUGAACUAAAAAGUUUAACAACUAAAAGGGGAAGCAAGAUUAAAACCAAAGGUACAACAUGAACGGGAAAGUCUUAUAUUCAGGGAAUUACCUUGGACAGUUUCCUUCUUCUGAUCAGGUUUCUGAGAUGAAGGGAGAAGAGUAUUAGAAACAGAAGCUGCAAAGCAAGUUAAGGCUAAAAAUGUAGGAAAAGCACAUUUAACUUUCACUAUUUUCAGAUUGGCCACCUAGAAUUCUGAACUUUCAGUUUAACCCACUGAUCUACAAAGCAAAGUGAUAAAAACAUACUAAUGGUACACUUAAAGAAAGAGGCAGAGUGAAAAUAGCAAUAUCUAAAGGGGGGUGCCCGUAAUUUAAUCAUAAGAAAAUUCAGAAAUGAAUUAAAACAAACAAACUUUCUCAUUCUUCAAGGUAACUUUUCGUUCCCUCUCCUCCAUCUCCUUCUUGAAUGCAAGCCAUUGGCUUCUCCAUAGUUCAAUUGAGGGGAUGGAUUGCGACAGAUCAGGUAGAAAUAACACAGUGACUUCUCUAUGGCUGAAGAGUCCAUCCUUGCCAACUCGAUUAUAAUGUAUCUGCCAAAAUAGAAUUGAUUAACCAGGACAUAAUACCAGAAAAUAAUCGAUUAAUCAGGAUAUAAUACCAGUUAGACAAACUAAAAAUAAAACUCUCGUCCCUAAAUGCGAAUUCAUAAAUAUGCAGCUACAUUUUGAAAAUGAAAAAAAAAAAAAACUUCAUUUUAAGGUGGCUACAACAAAACAGUGAUUCUCUUCACAAGCAUGACAUACAGAAGGACAGCAAAUAACAUCACAAUCUUAUAUAACCAGACAAAGUAGAAUGAGAAAAAAAGCAGCUCGAGUUGCACUCUAAUGGAAAGGUAACAACAACUGCAAAAGACAAACAAAAUAACCUGAAUACACUCAUGAUGAAGCACUAUUACUGAGUUGGAAAGUCUAAAUCCCAAGUCAAAACUGAUGGGGGAAAAAAUUGUACUGAUAAAUUAAAGAAAUUAGCGUUCAAGCUUUUCAAGAAAAAAUUGAUUGUAACUAAGGUAGUCCAAAAUGCAUGAGACUUGGCUUAUCUUAUGAGUUACCAAAUCAUGCUUUCAAUACAUAUUAUGGUUAGUUCUUUAGAGGACAUGGGUUACAAAAGGAAACUCUCUCUUCUUUAUCAUGAUUUCAGAAGUAGUCAAUGAAGUAGAAGUUUACAGCAAUGAAGUCGUAGUUACCUCAACAACAUUUGACAACAAAAUUAUUGGAAGUGUGCGCAAGAAUUUAACUGAUGAAUCUCAUAUUAGAAGACGAGACAACUACGAGUACUAGUUCAGGAGUGAGCAUUAUCAUUUAAAUAUGUCGGGCCAGUGGUAACAGGUAAUUUGUAAAAAUGAUAAAGGUAAAACUCAUUUUCUUUAAUGAAAAGAUGCAGCAAAAUAUACCUCAAGGAAGCGAUUCCAAUGCUGGCAGCUGUGUAGAUCAAGCUGCGUCAGAUCCUUGACGUAUCUGUGCAAGAACAUAACUAAUUAUAAGUUCUGAAAAGAAACUAUUCUUUACAAAAGCACAAUUGAUGCAACACAUGAAAUUAUACUAUAUAUACAACACACACCUAGAAGCUGUUUGAAUCAAGCAAGAACUGUCAAUCAAGGGGUUACCGCCAUCAAUCGCAGCAUUCCAUGGCCCUCCAAUUGCCAUAAAAGAGUGAUCUUUCUUGAGAACAGCAAACUUGAGAACAUUGUUGAAGUGGAUGAUGCGUCCCUCCGUGCUCUUGUCGGAGCAUAUGUCUUCCAAUGCUUCACUGCUAAUGCCACUCAUCAAGAUUACCUGCUAGGAGAAGCUUGUAUUACAUGCUGCAUAGUUUCUGGUAAAAAUGAAUGAAGACACCCUCAGCUAUAAGCCUAUAAUAAGCCAUUUUGAAAUAGAUCCAAAAGUUUUAAUUAAUUGACACCCUUAAACUUCCUGCCCAUUUUUAAUCAAAUUAUAUGUCUUGGUUAUAUUGGAAGUUCCAUUGGCAGUGUUUUUGUUACUUGCUUAAUUGCAACAGCUCUUGUUGCCUCUCAGCUGAUGGGAUUGCAGGUUCUGUUUAGCAGUCAAUAGCUGAUAGCUAUCAGAGAAACUAAUGUUAACAGUAUACACAUCGAACUAGGGUGCGACAAUCAGAAAAAACAGCGUUAGGAAGUCUUUCAAAAUGGCCUAUAAUUGAGAGGGGCUCCAUACUAUUUUACCUAGUUUUCUUCCAUAACAGAUGAACAAAAAAAUAGAGCUAUUCAUAUUUUAUUGUUGUAACAUAUGAAAAAAGGGAUGAUCAAUUUAAGCAACUGAUCUUUUCCGGAUGAAUUAAAUUUAUAAUGGAAUAAAAUACCUACACUAAAUAAUUUACUUAAAUUCUAUACCUUGGCAUUCCAAACAGUAUCGCCGCCAUUGGGCGUUGCAGAUUUACUAGAGGAAACUAAUCCGUUUUCAUCGGCUUUCUCAUCUACUUCAACAAUGUCAUGCUCAAAACUGCUCCAGUCAAGAAAAUGCAAAACAGAAAAGUAGUAAUUUGUAAGGUUUGCUACAAGCCAUAGGUAGUAAACACCGAAUUGCAUUAGGAAACAUCAUACAACCAAAAAACAGGAAAAAAGAGAUCCCCAAAUAAUAUAUAUAUAUGUGUGUGUGUGUGUGUGUGUGUGUGUGUGUGUGUGUGUACCUCACAGGAGUAUGCAGUGAAAUAUAUAAGCUUUCCUUUGGCCAGUUCAAGACAACCUAGAAAUGAAUAAAUUUCAUAGUGAAAGAAAUGCUGAAGGUUAGUGAUUCAAAUGAUUAUUGAGAAAAUGACUUGUCAACAAUAAAAAUGGAGCCUUAUAUUACUACAGACGAAAGAUUUAAUCAUUUUGCAGUUCUUAUGAACUGAUCUUCUUGGCAUGACGAUUUGAUUAGGAUAUAAAGGACAAAAGCUAACAGAAUAAGAAACUAUCCUCACUUUUAUUGAAGUACUGACAUCUAAUCUUCCAAUAUACAUGACUUCCAAAGAACAAACAAACCAACCUUGGAAAAGUCCGGAGCUAUUGCUAGCCUGGGAUAUCGCUUGCUCAAAGAUAAGUAAUCUCUUUCAACAUCCACCAAGCAAAACGGGAAGACCUGUCAAGACCACUAUAAUUAAUACAUAUUUCAAGAAAAUACCUUGGUUAGCUAAUUCCUAAUAAAUAAGACCACCUAAUUCGUUGUAGCAACCAAUUGCAUACAGGUUACUCAUGUAAAGUUAACACAAACAAAUGAAAAGGCUAACAAAAAUGAUAAGAUAAUGUAGCACACAUCACGUAAAAAACCCUAAGGGUAGCAUCAUCUUAGGAAAGCUUAAAAGCUAGGGAGAUGAAAUCAAAUUUUCAAUAAGGGGAAAAAAGGAUAAAAAAGCUUAAUACGUGGGCACAACUGUCCAACUAUGGGAGUAAAUGUAUAUUACGGAAGCACCAUUAGGAAAGCCAAAGCGAGCUAGAAAUAAAAAGGAUGACAAACAAGAGACGUCCCUCUUUGAACACAAAUGUUCAACAAGAAAUAAUAGCCCAAGGUCAUAUACGGAGAACUUCAAAAAAGAGUGGAAGCAAAAAGGGAUUCAAGGACAUGAAUAGAAUACGAGGAAUCCAAGAAGAUGCCUGCAGCACCAAAUUUGUGAUUGACCAAGCCUAGGCUAAUACUAUCCGCGAAGACUCAUGAUAAUUUUACCUUGCAAACAUAAUCUCUCUUUUUCUCCUUAACAGGGGAACGAUGCCUUCACGAGAAUUAAAAAGUAAAACAGUUAGUUCAGAAAGCUGCACCAGUAGAUGAAGCAGCAACCUACUUGAAUCCACAGCUGAGAAAAAGAAAGAAAUCGUGAAGGGCAACCUAUGCACAGCAACAUCUCGAUGUGGCGAAACUCGACGCAAAGGUUUCUCAUCCCUUACAGAAGAAGAACCCCUACGAUCCCUAGAUGCUCUAGGUGGUGGAGUUCGUUCUCUCUUCAGAUCUGCUCCAAGCUUCCGAUCCCGUUCUCUCUCCCUAUCCCGGCGUUCCCGUUCGCGUAGCCGUUCUCUUUCCCUUUCCCUUUCUCGUUCCCGUUCCCUUUCUCUUUCCCGUUCACGUUCUCUUUCACGGUCGCGCUCUCUUUCUCGUUCCCUUUCUCUUUCACGUUCCCGCUCUCUUAUCUCGAGCUCUCGUCGAUAGGCGCUUCUAUCAUCCUUUCUGUCAUCAACCAUUGAGAGUCCAACGCUGGAAUGCGGUGCACGCGACAGAACACUACUUUGGUAGUCACGCUCGAGCGAGGGGCCACGAAGACCCUUUCCGGUGACGUAAUCCCGACCGGGGGGCAAACCCACCCCAUGUGUGUAGAUGAGGUCAUCAGCGUUUCUCCUUGGAGCUCCCCCUAACAACGAAGCUGCGUGGGCUGCACCAUAUGGCGCGCUUCCGAGUAUAGAUGUGCUACGAGGAUCAGCAUCGUAUCUUCCUCCAUACGAUUGAUCAGAUCCGUUAUGAAUCGAAGCAGUCCGCACUGCAUAGUAGUCAGCUUGUCUGUCCAGAAAUGUAUGCAAUUCUUUAUUCAGUGGACAGGAGUUGUGGGCAAAAAGAUUUCCAUAUAACAAGCCUUGAGAAGUAUAAUAGAUAUAUAUAUCAGCACUGCAACAACACCGAUUGGGAACAUUUUGCAGCAGUACACAGCAUAAAUGAUGCUUUGGAGAUAACAAUUUUCAAAGGAGGACUAAAGACAUGGUCGUUCAAAUCAAUGGAAAAGAAUAAAAGGAAAAACAGUUAGAUAGCACUUUAGCAUUUCUGAAGAUGACUUACCUUAUAUCCGAACCAGACUGCAGGGAUUGAGCUUUUAGUAUUUGUUGUUGCCGCAGUAGUGAUGUCUAUAGAAAAGUGCAACAAAGAGGUCAUUAGGAUUUCACACCACUAAGACAACAAUAAACCAGAAGGGAAAGAAUUAAACUACCUGCUCUAAGUGAUCGUGGAUCUCAGGCUGUACCAAUUAUCAAACAAUGGCAUUACAGUAUUAGUUAUAUAUAGAAGGUACAAAAUAAAGGCAAUCAAAAGGUUACAUAUACUAGGUUCAUAGACGAACCUGAUGUUGGUGGCUUAGAGAAACUGGAUCAGGGUAUCUUCGAACUGAAUCACUCGCCAAGUCUCUCCCACUAUAACUACCCUGAGCUUCAGAAUAGUGCCGUCUGUCCAACGAGGCAUAAUCAGAACUUGCCACUAAAGAAUAUUGAUCUGCCUUCUGACUAUAUCCACGGUUACUGCUAACUCCACCAACCUGUACGAAAACAAAGCUACUUCGAUAACUCCUAGGGAUGCCCAUGAAAUUGUGGAACACAUAAACUUGUCACCAUAUUACUUAAAUUAUUCCCUUUUUCCCGAAGAUAAAAUAGUAAAAUUUAUAUUGGUUCUCAUUUCUAAUAAUAUAUUUCUCAUACAAUUCCAUACCUAAUCCACAUGUCUAAUGUACUUCUAAAAGCUACUCAAUUUCAGCAUACAUCCAGGUGAGUUCUGAUAUCGGGCAUCUCGAGCCCUAAAGGUCUCAUCUUCAUUUUUUUUUUUUUUUUGGAAAUUACAAAACUAAAUCAUUAAACAUCAUGUGAGAGCAAAUAAGCGCAAAUAAAGAAUCAGGAAAGGGUUCGAACUUGUGCUGGGAUAAAGUAUGAGUAGUUGCUUGCGAUUUUAUUUUAUUCGAAUCAUACUACAAACCAAACGUAGGAAAACAAAAUAUGUUGAUUAACUAUGUUGAUUGUCCACAAAAUAAAUGCACUAAAUUACUCUAUAGAAAUAUGGAAUGAAUUUAACCGAAGUUGGUGAAAACACGGUUAGAUGGUCGCAGUAACACCUACAGUUAAAUACGACAAAAAAUGGUACAGGUAAAUCCUAAAACUGCAAACUUCCAAAUAAAAACAUCGAGAAAAAAGACCUGCUGAGCACUGCUCAAGGAAGACGAUCCAUAAACGGAGGCAUAAGGCCCUCCAUACUGUGAUGCUUGCGAACUAUGGCUUCUAUAUCCGCCAAUAUCUGCUUCUUGAGCGGCACUAAGACCUACCUGCCGAGCAUCGGGGCCGCCAACCCCAUAAACGCUACCAGGCUGUGUACAACAAUGAGAAAUCAAUGCCAAACAAACAUUAGAGGCUAAUCUUUAACCAAAAAGGGAGCAAAGAUUGAGAUCUUACGACCUGUCCAUACGCCUGUUGCGCUGAAUAUGGUUGUUGGCUGUAAGGGUUCCCACCCUUCGACGGGUACAUAUCUUAUUUCUAACCACAAAAAAUAGCACAUUUCAUCAUCGUCGCGCACAGAAACAAUGUUCGGAUGAUUAUAAACGCAAGUAAGAAUAAUCCUGAUCGAAAUUUAGCAAAACCCUGCACAAACCUUUAAUUGUUCUAUAAUCAAUACAAAUAAUGAUGAAUCGCAACCCUAAUUGCGAGGAAAAAGAUUAGACAUACGAGAUCGCUCCGAAACCAAGUAAAGAUCUACUAGGUUGCACGAUCAUGAGAUUUGUACCUUCGCGGAGAUCGCAGCGUGAGGUGGAUCACGUCGAUCGCAAGAGAGAGGAAAGGAGAGGAAGCGGCGAUGAGGUAAUGGAUGAGGAGGGAGGUGAAGGAGACGAGGGUUUUGGUUAGGAGUCGAUCGAUGCGAAUUUUGAGGGUUUCCGGUGGGUUCCAGUGUGAUCGAAUCUGAGCGAGAUGGUAGCAUAUAUAGAAAGAAGUCGCACGAAUCGUAAGGCAGUGAUCGUCCGCUUGAUUGGCUUCUGACGUUACAUGUAGGCUCGGGUCAAAUUGGGUUCCAUCAAGAAGCCGUUGUUAGGUCCGAGUCCGACCCAAUUAUCGAGUUCGCAGGAACGAGCUAAGCCAUUUUAUCAAUUAAUAAUUAAUAAUUUAAUAUCUGACUAAGUUUUUUUUAAAAAUGGUAAUGCGGUACUUAUUUUACACAGUUAUAUAGUAUUAAAUUAGUAUACUGUGUUAUAUAGAAUAUAGAAUAGUAUUUGAGACACAAGGUUGAAAAUUUUGCACUCUUUGGAGGAGACAAAUUAAAUGAUUCAUGCGACAAUUGCAUUGAAGGAAGUAAAAUGCUGUUGUUUCUCAUCACAUUAUUCCCAUGAAUUCGUUGAAAAGUUAAAAACUAAUAAAGCAUGCUAUCUUCGCUGUAUUCAAAGGUUCCUUAGCACGAAAUCGGCUUUCUUAAAUAAAUGGCUACAUUUAAAAAAAAAAAAUAACACAAUUCAAUUCAAACUCGUAAUUUAUGUGAUGUAUCUUGCAUACACACAACUUAUUUUCUCAGAUAUUAAGCCUUUAAGUUUCUAAACCAUUUCCCGUAUCUUCUUCGUCCUCUCUCUCUCUCUCUCAUGUUCACACCAUUGUUCAUGGCCGCCGCACUCCUAUUAGGCGCGGUCGAUGUGGAGAAAGCGGCUCAUGUUCCGGCGAUGUUCGUGUUCGGAGACUCUUUAACUGAUCCGGGAAACAAUAACAAUCUGGUGACCCUCGCGAAAGCCAAUUAUUAUCCAAAUGGUAUUGAUUUCCCCUACGCAGCUACAGGAAGGUACUGCAAUGGUGGAACGAUGGCUGAUCAUUUAGGUAAUUAAUAAAAAUGAGAUAUGGCCCAUUUAAUCAGCAUAUAAACUAGAUUAGAGUUUAUCUAAUUAAUGUUCUUAACUUCGGAAAGUUUUGGGCUUUUAGUCCAGUUCCUUUUUUGCAAUUUCGUCAAAACCCAAGCCCACGACGAGCCCGAUACAAAAGGGUCCAAAAAUGGUUGCGACAGUUGGGCCGUUUAUUCAAAUUGGAGAGCUUACUUUAACAAAAUUGCAUUAAAAUCCCUCCAAUAACUUAAUUGUAAGAGAAGUAGAAUCUUUACUAAUGAAUGCGGAAACAAAAUCAAAAUCAAACAUGUAUUAAAUAUUAAGUUUAUCAAGACAAUGUUGUUUUUUUUUCUGCUUCAUAUUUCGAUUUCAAAUGCAGGUGCUCUUCUUGGGCUACCGCUAAUUCCUCCCUUCACUAACCCCGGCACAACUGGUUCUAACAUUCUAAAAGGAGUAAAUUUCGCAUCAGCUGCUUCUGGUAUCCUUAGUGACACUGGAUUGCUCUAUGUGAGUCCUUAACAUCCAUUUCUUCAAAACUUUGGACGCAUUUGUGCUUCUCUACGGAAAAUUUUGCAGAAGCACUAAUUGAAUAGAGUUAACGGACUAUGCAUUAACAUUUUUCUUUUGAGUAAAACUGAGUUUCUUGUCCUCAAUAAGAUCGCGACUAUUUGUUGUCACAGCAAGUGCUUUAGCUCUUUUGUUUGUACACCUUCUAUUGCUUCUUGAUGUAAACAAGCUGCUCUAGAAGCUUGCUAAAUAGGUACUUUAAUUGUAGCUCCAUAUAUCUUGCACCAUAUAUUUUUUUUCCAGCUAAGAUCCUCACUUUGGUUUGUUCUUAGGGGGACCUCUUUACUAUGGAUGAACAAGUGAGAAACUACAAAGAAACAGUGCAAAAUUUGAACCUACUGUUACAAAAUGGGACAGGAGAGUUUCUAAGGAGAUCUCUCUUUUUCAUUUGCAUAGGAGCUAAUGACUACAUCAAUAACUAUUUGCUUCCAUUCUCAGACAAGUCCAAAACGCAUACUCCAAGUGCUUAUGCUCAGCUACUUGUUCAAGAGUACACCAGGCAAAUCAUGGUACUUUGUUUUAAUAUUCAUUUAUCACAUAAGAAUUAUGAAGUUAAACAUCGAUCCAAUUAUAGAUAUUUUCUUGAAUGGGUUAUCAAAUUCUCUCGACAUUGAUUAGGAUUUGUAUGAGCUGGGAGCGAGGAGAUUUUUGAUCGGCGGAGUUCCUCCGAUCGGGUGCACUCCGAACCAAAUAGCAAAUUCGGGGAACGACAUAGGCUCGUGUGUUAAUUCUACAAAUUGGUUAGUCAUGCGGUUCAAUAACGAAGUUAAAAUGAUGGUUCGAGAGCUAAAUACAAACCUUCGAGGGUCACACUUCCUCUUUUGGGACACAUAUGACAUAUUCUUUCACAUCAUAAAAAAUUCCUCACAUUUUGGUAAUCCUCUCCUACACAACUUACUAAUCGAUUUGGAUGUGUUAUUUUUUGCUGCAAAUUCGAUUUCCUCCUUUCAUCACUCUCCCUUUUGAUUUAUUAUUGUUAUUAUUACAAAAUUGUAGGGUUUAAGUAUACAAACAAAGCAUGUUGUGGGGGAGGGCGAUCGAAGGGCCAAAUAAUAUGCUUGCCCAUUUUGCCUCUUCAGUGUCGGAACCGAUCGGAGUUUGUGUUUUGGGAUCCAUAUCAUCCUACCGAUGCUUUCAAUGCUAUCGCGGUCAAGUAUUCAUUCUCACAAAAAUUCCGAACCUCAUUCCCUUCGAAUACACAACAACUUAUUCAAACUUUAAAGGUAUAAAAGAGAAACCUAUGAAUAGUUAAUUAGGGCGAAAGCCAAAGUAACAGAGUAAAUCUAGGUCGAUGUUGCAGAUAUGUUCCAUCUAAGUUUAAUAUUGUUGUUUCUCCUUUUAUUUAUUGAGGCAUAUAUAUAUAUAUAUAUAUAUAUAUAUAUAUAUAUAUAUAGCGUACAUAAUCAAUAACAAUAAAUAAACAAAACCUACUCACACUCUAGUUGCAUGCUUGUAUCUCGAUUGGAAUUAAUUUAUCGGCAUGCAGUUGUUUUUACUGUUUAGAUGGGUGGGAGUUGUUGCAUCUACUUAAGCUUGGCGGUUUAAAAUAACAUGCAUGAUCGUAUUCAACGCUCAUAACGGAAAUCUUAUGUAAUUAUCUUAAAAAUUAUUGAUGUGUCAGCAUUGGCGUGUAAUACAUAUUAAUAAUUAGUUCAAGGUGUCGAGUACAUUACUUUUUCUUUGUUAAAUUAUAUGAAAUUAUUAUUAUUUUCUAAAAAUUUAAAGUGUGAAAGAAUGGUAUUUUCAGUAUUUAUAUUUAUCUGAAAAUAAACUUUUAAAUUAAAUAAAAAAAUAAAUAAUAUUAGGAGUUUAAUUGAACUCAAAUAUAGAAUCUCCUAAUACUGUAUUAAAUAAUAUGAAAUAAUUAUUACACUCUUGGAAUCUUUAAUGAUGAGAGAACUGAUGUUUUUUAAAUAAUUAUUUUCAACACUCUUUUAUUGGGUCACGUGCACACUGGCUUUUUUGUCACCUAUUCUCCAAAGUUCUUGUAGGCUAUCAUGUAGCAAGCUAUUCACUGCAGCUCUGGCAAAACUAAGGUACCUCUCCCCCUACCGAUUUUAUUGAUGCAUGCAUGCAUCAUCUUUUUACGAGCACCUUUAUUACCCUUUAACAUAAAUAAAUAAAUAAAUAAAUAUAUAUAUAUAUAUAUAUAAAAUUGAGCUUCUAUGCUUUUAAAAGUACCAAGUCAUUGGUGCUUGUAAGUUUUCGGCCCUUGGAUUAAAGGAUGUGCGGUUAGGAUGAUAUGGGCCCCCUAGGGUUGAGUGGGUGGUUGGUUUAAUAGUAUAAUCUAACAGGUAAAAAUAAUCAAAAACAGAGAUCUAACGGUAAAAAAUUUACAAGCACCAAGUACUUGGUACUUUUAAAAGUACCAUAGCCGGAUUCUAUAUAUAUAUAUAUAUAUAUAUAUAUAUAUAUAUAUAUAUAAUUGGAAACAAAGGAUUAAAAAAGCCACGGAGAAGUGAGAUGAACACAAAAUUCUUGUGUGUUAGGACUUAUUUUUCGUAUCUUGUGAGUUUGAUUGGUUUGUUGGAUUAUUAAUUGAGAAAAAUUGAACAAUUAUUAGGAGUUAGGGUUUGAAACUUGAUUAAUAUGGAUUAAUUAACUUUUUUAAAACAAUUCUAAAAAGUGGAAAUUUGUAAGUUUGCGCUUAUCAAAUAUUCAAUAUUUAGCUGCGGCAGAAAGAAUAAAAUGAAUUGUCGAGAAUUAUUUUCUGACCGAAGAAAUAGCAUAUUGGAAUCAUUCGGGCAAAAUCAAAAGUUGCAAAUGGGACACUUUGAUUUUAAGACUUAGAUUUGUAUACCGUUAUAGUAGAAGUUCCAAAAUUUACUGGCAAUUUUACUAGUAAUAACAAAAAAAAAAAGUAGAUCUAAGUAGUAGCAGGAGCAAAAGGACAUCACACAUCAAUAUAUUUCGAUAUAUAGUACAAAAAAAUGCAUUUUCAACUUCUAAACGCAUAUGUAGUGAUAUAAGUAGUAUAUCAUCAGUGUCUUUGUAAAUAAAAAGCUAUGCAAUCUACACACCGUUAAGCUAGAGGUAUACUUUACAUCACAUCCAUCUUAGCUACUAUUUUUUAUUUGUCGUAUCAAAAUUUUUAUAAAAAAAAACUAAAAAUCUAGUUGGUCUUUUAUAAAUCCUUGAAUGGAAGAAGGGUUGUAGAAUUUAGGAAAAAAUUGAUUGGUGAAAUAAAAUAAUAACCUAAUUUGGUACAUGUGAGAAAACACUUUCUUAAGAAAUACCUAAGAAAGGUUGGUGGCUUUGAUGUUUCAAAUCCAGAGGUGUCACAUGGUGUAUGUACUUAAUUGAGUGGUGUGCAUGCCUUAUAUAUAUUCCUGUAGAGAUGAUUCUCUUGAUUUUAGCUCCUCAAAAGGGACAACCUGGAUCACCUGGGGUGGUGAAUCAUGGCACUAGUGUUUUUUAUAAAGGAGAAGCACUUUGGGCUAUGUUGGACCCAACAUGGCUUAUUUCCUCAGGCCAAUGAUCAGGCCAUGGCAAAGUUGUAAUACAGUAGUAACUUGUGCACAAACAACAUAGCUUAUGAAGCCUAGCUACUUCAAUUAGUGAGCCAUACCACAUUAAUAUUACACAUAUUACCGGCCGUCCCUAAAACAAGUGGCAAAUGGCUCGAUGGUUGGUACCUGAGGCCCAACUUCAAAUCCUAGUUGAUUCACAUUUCUAGUUAAGUUUAUUUCUAAAUGAAGUAAACGAAGUGGAUAGCAUGCUACCUAUCUCUCAAAAAAAUAUUACACAUAUUUCAUAACAAAUUUUUCUGAGAGAAACGUAACAAGCGAAGUUAACCGCUUUAUUUAAAAAUAAACUCAGCAAAAAACGUGAAGCAACCACUUUUGAACUUGGAAUCUCAAAUGCCAAUUAUAAUGCUUUUAGCCAACGAGUAGGGUUACUAUACUUUUAUGAGUAUAGAGUCCUUUGUACUUCUAAGUUGUUCUUAAUGAUGGAGCUUCUAAAUCGACGAUCCAUUCCGUUAAAUAUAAGCUAGAGUAUUUGCAACUUUAAAACAAUAAAUUUCGUAAUUUUUUAAAAUUAUAAUAAUUAAAGUCCGUCAAAUAGGUAUAAAAUGAACAGUCAAAAUCGAACGACGUCCUAAAAAUGGAUGAUCGGAUCCUUCAAUUUAUGAUCGGAGUUAUUAAUCUUUAUCUAGAUAAUGAAUUUAAUUUUCUAUCAAAAAUUCAAUCUAUUUCAAUUCUUUUAUACCGUUAAAGUAGCAAGUAUCCCAUAUUAACCGUUAAAAAUUGCCAACUUUAUGACCUUUUGAUUGUAAGGUAAAUGAUGUCGAAAAAUUAUAAAAUUUGAUUUCUGAAAAUUUUAAAUACUUUAGAUAUUAUUUAACGGUAUGAAUCGUCAAUUCAAAAACUCUACCACCGAAAACGACUUAUGAGUACGAAAAUAUUCGUACUCUUAUACUCAUAAGAGUACAAUAACCGGACUCUUAGCCAACUAUGUUAAGUGCGGUUAUUUCAUAACAACUAGUAAAUAUAUAUGUAUACUCUCUUUAAUUUUUUGUAAUGGCUUUCUCUAUCACUUUAUUUGGUUACGCUGGAGAAAAUUGAUUAUUUUGCAAGACGGGUGGCGCGCGUGCCAUUAUAUAUUACCCGUCAUAGUUUAACUCAAAUUCAAACAACUUGUCUGGUUUAGCAAGAUUAGCUUCUGUGAAAAUAAUUUUUGUGCGUUUUUUUUUUUUUGAAAAAUCGUCAAUAACUUUUUAAUUCGAAUAUAUUUAUAGCUUCUUGUCGUAGUAGAAAUUAGUUUUGCGUGCCAAAAUCUCACCUUGAGCUUCUCACCGUAGAAAAACUCUUCAACUUUUUUUAAAAAUCGUUGCAAUAAAUGUCUAGCAAAACCUUAAAAUGGCUCUUCCAAACGAAGUGGGUAGCAUCUCUCAAUAAAAAAAAAGAAAAAUUGAAGCGGCCAGCAUGCUACUAAUCUCUCAAAAAAAAAAAAACAUGUACGCAAUAACGUAGACCUAAUGAGUAGUAAAUAUAACUAGCUAAUAGUGUAAAGAUAUGAAUAGUAUCGUUAACAAAGUUAUUUUUAUUAUGCACAAUUAAAUUAAAUUCAUUAAAAACACACGGGUCUAGUAUUAAGAGCCGUGUAAAGCUUCUGAAUUGAAAGAAUUUGGUAUCGAACCAUAUAAAAAUAUAUCUCUCUACUUGUUUUUAGCUAAACUGGUACAAUUAAUAUAAGUGAUAUAUGUUGCCAUUUUGGAAAGAGAAAAACAUUCAAAAUUUAUCUGAAUAAUACAUUAUUUUCACUGCAAUAAAAUUAAAUUAUAAGGAUAUAUUUUUGGAAUACUUUUAUGUAAGUGUCUCAUUUAUAUCAAAUAUUUUUUAAAAAAUUUACUAAGAUCUAAAUAUAAAAUGCAAUCCAAUCGACAAUAAAAAGUUUCUUUACUCAACCAACCCCACUCGACCCGAUAACAAAUAGAAUAGAAAAAAAAUAUUAUCAUCAUCUCCCCCUCUCUUCCUCCGUCAUCACAGCUGACGAGGUAGGAUUCCGACGGUUAGAGUUCGGCCACAAGAACCUCACAGGACCGUAGAGGGCUACGAUCGCGACGUAUCCCUCAGCCACAGAUCGCUACAGGAGGAGUCGGUGUCCAACAUCAAGACGGCCCUACAUAUAGUGACCCCAUAUAUAUAUAACAACACUUUUAACUUUUUUUUUAACAUGUACCGAUAUUUAAAUGUCGCUAUAAAUACACCGUUUUUGUUGUAGUGUUUCAAAAUUUUAAUUUUGUUAAUCAACUCUUUUUUAUACAUAUUAAAGUCAAAGUAUCGUUGAUUGGCUUAAAUCGAACAUGCUGAAAGAUUGGAUAGUAAAAUUAAAAAAUUUUAAAAAAAUAAAUAAUUAAAUUAAAAUAAUUCAUAAUUUAAAUAACUUUUUAUCUUUUACGUUUUAGAAAAUAAACAAAAUUACUUUCCAAUCGUUGCUCUUCCACCGGGAGAGUAUCAAAGCUAUGUCCUCGAUCACCAUCAGUAAAUAAAAGGUACAUCACCGACUGUCCCUAUAACAAGUGGCAAAGAAUUUGGUGGUUGGUAUCUAGGGUCCCAAGUUCGAAUCCUAAUUGAUUCAUAUUUUUAGCUAAAUUUAUUUUAAAAUAAAAUAAAAAACGAAACAGAUAGUGUGUGAAACAACCGUUGUACUCUAUAAACUUAAGCUUUUAGAGUACAACGGUUGUUUCACAUGGUAUCAGAUCCAGAGGUCACGGGUUCGAUUCCUGUAUGCUGUAAAUGUGUACAGGUGCUGGAGGGGGGAUUGUUGGCUUAAAUGGGCCAGCAUCCUGCCCUGUGGCGGAAGGCCAUGUGGGCCGAGUCAUGUUCGAAAUGGCGUGAGGCUGGGUUGGGCCGAGUCAUGUUCGAAGUGGCGUGAGGCCAGGUGAGCCGAGUUAUAAUCGAGACUUUUUAAUCGGCUCAUGACGUGGGCUUGAAUUAAAUAGAAGGAAAUUAAUAUACUAGGAGCCUGUCGUGACUCGAACUCAGUACUUCUUACUCUGAUACGAUGUGAAAUAACUGUUGUACUCUAAAAAGCUUAAACUUUUAGAGUACAUCUCUCUUCUGAUACAUCGCAUCUUAAAGUUAAUGGGUGGUUGGUGAAAAGCUGAUCUUGCGCAACGCGAAAAAGCGAAAACACGUGACUACCCGAUAGCCAUGUUACUGUACGAGGUUCGGCUUUUGCGGAAACCGACUCUACUGCUUCUUGGAAAAGCAGAAUAGGUGCGUGGUAGGGUAGGGCUUUAACUUGGCUUCUUGCAUGCGACCUGCUUGACGCGAGGCCUAGCUGUGUAUAUUAUUUUUUUCGAGAGAGAUACGUAGCACACGUUACUCGUUUCAUUAAUUUUAUUUAAAAAUAAAUUUAACUGAAAAUGUAAAUUAACUAGGAUUCGAAUUCGGGUCUCAAAUACCAACCACUAAACUCUUUGCCAUUUGCUCUAGAGACGGUCGGUAGCUGUGUAUAUUAUUGAGCUUAAUUAAUUAGCAUAUAUAUAAGUUGGCGGUGCAAUGGUGCAUGCCCAACGCGAUUAUUUUUCAUAACCACGUUGAAAAUGGUGACAUAAAUUAAAAAACAUUGGCCGUGAAUGCAUUGAACCACUUACGAUUCAUUUUUAAUUUAAGCUAUAUUGUUCUAUUCUCCAAACAUGAAGUACAAAAUCACGUUUACGGCAUGCGCGUUUUACUGUAAGGUAUUUGGAAACUCGUUUGAUCGCAAAUGACCGAUUAGUGCAUUGUGUCGCAUUAAACAUAUUCGGCCCAUUUUAUUCAUAUUCAUUAAUUCUCCCUGAAAGAGGAGAUAACUAUGAUUCUAAUAACCAUCAUCCUAAUAUAAUUCUCUAAAAUUUGGUGUUUUAAUUUUACUCUUAGUGCUUCACUGUAGCAACUUAGUCUGUAAAGCUUGAGUAUGUACAAUCUUAAUUAAUUUCAUAAUUGCGUUUUUUUAAAAUUUUAAUACCGAAAAUAGCCUUUCUUUUACUUCUUUUCUAAAUUAAGUUUGGCCUUGAAUUUAGUUUCAUUCUUAGAUACUUUGGGUCCCCUGAAAAAGUGUAAUAAUGAUGUUGAACUAACAUUUUGUAGAUUAAUUAAAGGGCUUAAUUUUUACAUGCAAUAACCUUCAUGCGGUAAACUAUUUAAAAUUGAAACUACGAUAAUAAAUUUAAGAUCUAAACCAAACUUUAGGGACCAAAUUUAUACCGUGGUGGCGCAAUAACCCCAAUAAUGGCUUUGUUCAGUUAAAAGGCGACGGUAAUCAGAAAAUGUUUGGACAAAAUACUGUAUAUCGAUAAAUUUGAUUUACAUCCAAUGAACAUUACUCGAUAGCUUUUUGAAUUUGUAUUCUAUAAUUUAGCGCAGAAUAACGAUCACUCAACACCGCUACAGCAAUUAACGAUCGGAAAGCUUGGGCGACCAAAAGGUCUCUUUGAUGUGAUUUCUCUUCAAGGCUAGGUGUUCGUGGAAACAUCAAUGAAUGAGAGUGGUGGGGGUCGUAAUGAGGUGGGGCAUGGAACAAAUUAAUUGUGAGAGGUGAUGGCAAUAAGAGACGCUCUCCAAUUUUUGAACCAAAGAAAUUCAGCACGAAUAUUGAGGCAGUACCCCCACCUUGUUGGCUUGUCGAUGAACCGCUCAAAAUACAAACUCCUCACCGCACUAUACUCUGUGGCUGCUUAUCUUUAUUCUAAAGUGGUGUGAUCUGGAAGAUAAACUUGUCACAAUGUUAGGCCUCCAUUUGCAGCUCGCCUAUAAAGUACAGUGUUGUUGGAUAAAGUACUGUAAUAUGCAAAGCACUACAUGUCGAAUGCGGUGUUAUCUUAAUUAAAUUGAAGUUACAAAGGCCUAUUUGGUCCGGUUUAAUCGAUCACUCUGUAUUGUCGGCCCCAACUAUAGAAGUGAGUAAUUUGACGGCGCGCUUUUAGCACAACUUGCAAGUAUAGACUUUAAUUGCUUUGAGUAGCUUCCCAGAGAAGCUUUUUGUCACUGCAGCACGAUGCGUGCCACACCAUGUAGGGUUGUAAAUUCAGGCCAAUGGCUCUAUAUUAUUUGACUGACUCUAUACAGAAAUAUUAUGUAGCAAUAAAAACUGUUUAACAAAUUCUUUCGUAGAAAUACUUUAAUUUUCUCUGAUGCGUAGCAAUCUAAAACAAAUUACCUGUCUUUUUUGUUACUUAGCAAAAUUUCUACGGGCGUGAAAAAUAGAAAGAAAAAUGGUUCUUUAACUUGCAUCCCAAAAUAUAUAUUGAAAUUUUUUAAUUUGGUUACACAAAUGACUAGUUUUUUUUUAAGAGAAAAAUAGCAAACUAUAUGUCUCGAGUACCAGCCACCAAGUUCUUUAUCAACUGUACUAUAUAUGAUUAGUCGCGUACCCCUAGUUGCUUUUAAAUUUUGAAUCAUUAUGAUCAAAUCAAUUCAAUCUCACAUCGACGACAACGAUGGAAAACGAAAAGAUCAUGGCCUUAGUCGUGGUGAUGAUUAUAUACACAACAUCAGCUUAUGCGCGCCGUGGGUGUGGCCACGAGCGUUGUAGGCUCAACUCACGAAUUGUCCACACAUCAUGAGUUUUGAACUAAUAAUUGGGGACCAUGCACUAUUAAUGGAGGAUUCUUAAGCACCUCUCUCUCUCUCUCUCUCUCUCCCUCUCUCUCUCUCUCUCUUUCUAUAUAGGUGACAAUUCAGUUUUGUGCCUCGGUUUACACGUUUUGUUUAAAAUUGUAUCACUUGAUUCCAAACUUAAAUAAACAUACAUGUAAUUCGCUUGUUAUUAUGCGUUUUCACUUUUGGAUUAAUUUUGCAUUGCACUCGUUUGUUAUUAUGCGAUUUCAUUUUCAGGUUAUGGAUUCACGUGGAUUCUAGCUAUUUUAAUUCCUUACGACAAUCUAAUAAUGGUGGUUGGAUUGUACCAUCAUACCGCAUAGUUGUUCUUCACGUUUUUAGAUUUAGGCAACUUCCAAAGUAUUAUUGAUACACUAACAGUGUUUUGUAGUACGUGAGAAAGUAAUCUUAUUAUAUUAUCAUCUAUACUUUUGAAGACACCCGUAAUGUCGUUUUUAGGAAAAUGUGAAAAGUUAGUAAUAUUCUGAACAUCAAUAUUUAGUUAUGUACUCACAGGAAUAAGCUAUAUAUGGAUCUCUACCUCUAACUAUAAAAACUUGAAGAGGAGAGGAAAUAUGAAAGGUACCAUGCAUUUUAUAAAUGUGACAUCAUAUAUUUGGUAGAACUAUAUAUGGUGAUAAAUUAAAAAGAAGGCCUUAAUGGUCUGCAUGUCUCUACUUCUACAAUUACUCUAGUAGGUGCCCUUCGUACGUAUUCAAUCUCCUAACCAACAAUAAAAAAAUAAUAAUAAUAAUAAUUACCUAUAUAUUCCUCAAAAUUUUAAAAAUACCGCAUUUAUCUUUACUAUUUUGUUCUUUCCAAUAUAAUCCUCAUAUAUUCCUCCGUUAUUUCAAAAUAUCCCUACAGUUACUAUCCGUUAAGUUUAUUUGGGUUAAAAGUGAGUUAAAUAUCUACUAAAAUUUUAAAAAAUCAAAAUAGCUCUUUUGCUCUUAACUUAAGGACAAAUAAGAAAUUUUGGUAAUGGUGGAAGGGUAUAUUUGAAAGGGCAAAAUAGUAAUUUUAUAUAAAUAACAACUAUUGCAAACUGUUUAUUAACAGAAUUUAGUUUAACUCUAUAGAUAUAUUUGAAAUAGUUGGAACGUAAAAAAUGUAUUUUUAAUAUUAACCUUCUAAGAAAAUAACUCAGAAAGCCGAUAAUUUUUCAGGAAUAUAUAAGCAAUUGCCCAUAAUUAAAAAAAUGUCUAAAUUGGCACCAUGCCACAUUUUUAAUACACUAGGACAAAUAAUAAUAAUAAUAAUAAUAAUAAUGCUAGUAAUAGUAACAAAAACCUCGAUUCAAAUUCUCAAACUUUUUAAAUCACCUCAAUAUAUUACAUGUGGUAAGUGCUUGUUUAUUUCUAUUUUUUGCUUCCGGUGUGCUGAAUUAAGGGAGGGAAAACAAACUUAUUCUACUGAAACAAAAGGCAAAUAAUAUGAUUUUAAAUCUUAAGUUCACACUACAACAAAAACGGUCUAUAUCGAUACUUUUAAAUGUAGGUAUAUGUCAAAAAAGUGCUGCUAGCUAAAAUUACUGAUACUUUUAAAAAGUGUUGCUAUAUGUGGAGUCGCUAGGUAUAUAGUGACAGUUAAAGAGCGUCGCUAUAACCUAAAAGAGUGCUGCUAAUUUACCAACACUUGUUUAAGCAUUUAGCAACCGCCGAAACUCUAUCUCGUUGGCUGUGGUGGCGGAGGAGGACGACAGUAAAGACUCUUCGUCUAGAAUUUCAGUGGAUUGAGUGAAGAGAGAAGAAAAGAUGGUAAUUAAUUUUUCUUUUUUUUUUCUUUUCUGUUUGUAAUCGGGCCAAAUAGACUAGGUAUGGUGGGUUGAGUAGAGUAAUCUUUUAUUUUUGGUUGGAUUGGGCUUUAUAUUUAGCCAUUAGUAGAUGUGUUUUUAAGUUUUAGCAUAAAUGGGACACUUACUCAAAAGUGUCUCAAACAUGUGUCCCUAUAACCUAAUUCUGUUGUAGUGUCAGAUUUUGUCGGAUCAUUGGCGCUAAUCACUAAUUUCACAAGUUCGAGCUGCUAAAAAUAUAUAACUUAUUUACUUAAAACGUACAGAUACAACGUUCACGGAUCUCGAUUAUAACUCGAUCCAACCAACCUCUUACCACUUCGACCUGACCUCCUGUCAUUUCAAACGUGACCUGACUCAAUCUGACUUAUCGUGAAAAAACAAGAUGCUAUCCCUUUUAAGCUGACAGUGCUGCAAUUCAGAAAGAAACUGUUGAUAUAUAUUGAGCGCGACUAGCUCGUCAUCUUCGUACUCGUCUUCUAAUCAUCUAACUCAUUAGCAAAGAGAGUAAAUUUUGAAUCGAGAAAAUGCCACCAACGGGCCCUAAUUGGCAUGCAAAUUGUUGUAGAUUUAAAUUUGGGAAUACACCUUAAUUAUCUGGUGCACCAACGCUUCUGUCCUAAUAGAAAAGGAUAAAAAUAAUAAAUAUAAAAAAACAAGAGUGUAAGAUGAGGUGCACAGCAUCUUACGGCCUCGGUGCAAUGAUGACGUGGUGCACCAGGCCCAGCUAACAAUUGCCUCACACCGUGUUGUUCUGCACUGCGGCGGUUCAUGCAUCGUCAAAGGGGACCUGUACUUGGCGUGGUGCACGAGGUGGCAAAUUGGCACGUGUGAACCCGGCCAAGCACGUGAACGAGUGCAUAUUUAUUUAUUGUUUUAUAAAAAUAUAUAUUUAUUUUAAAUAUUAAAAUUAUUUAACAAAAUAACUAAACUUUAUUUUAUUAAUAAAUUGCGUACAAACUUUAACUUAAUUAAAAAAAAAGUUAAUUUUAUACAUAUCCUUAUAAAUAUAGUGAAUGACAAAUAUACUCUUAUAAGCUCAACUUUUAUAUAUUAUCAUUACAAAAAUUCUAGUAUUUUCAAAUAUAUCUCUCUGAUUUUUUAUCGUUAGAUAAUCGUUAAUAUUUUCAAUUUUACCAUCACAAAUAUGUUCCUUAAAAAAUUAUAACACUAUAAUAUUAGAAAAUAAAAAUAUCAAAAAUUAAUCAAAAUUAAAUAUUUAAUCUAUAAUUAACUAAAAUUUUAUAACGAAUUCUAACAAUAAGAAUGCAUUUAAAAAUAUUUAAAUUUUUAUAAAAAUAAUAUAUACAAAUUAAACUUUAUAAAACUAUAUUCGUUAUUCAAUAUAUCCAAACAGAGAUAUGUUAAAAAAAACCACCAUAUGAUGCGCACGUAACACGCGGGGACAACGUUUCCUUCCUGUACACUUGUGUACCUUCCGUGCUUCGCGGCUUCGAUUUUCGAGCCUCGUGGAGCCAAUUUGCUGUAGUCACUUUAAAAAAUUAUGUAUUUAAUUUCAAACAAAUAUUUAAUUUAAAUAUUUUGUAUUUUAAACGUGCUAUAAAAAGAUAUAUCUCGGCCUAUUAAUUUUUGCUUUAUGUGUUAUGUGUUAUUUUUAUUACAUUUAGCUGUGGAUAAUAAUAUGAAAAAUAACAAAGUUGCUAUUCCUAAAACGGAAAUUAGCUUCCUUUGCUUAAUUUCAAAUAAUUAUGUUUGCGAUACAGUAAAUAAAUCGAGUAACAUAUAUAAACACCAUUAAAUGUGAGAGUCAAAUAUUUGAUCAGCAAAAGUUUAAAGUGUUUUCAAAUUUUUUUUGGUUUGAACGGAGUUUGAAGACAUAUGUGCCAUCUAAAUGGAGUUUUAUUUUGAAUCUUUUCAUUAAAUUAGUAACAAAAUUAGACAUUUCAAAUUGAUUUUUUUUAAAAAAAAUUUUUUGGUUGGAUUGGAGCUCAACUCGGAUUUUCACUUUCAUCUUUAGAGUUUCAAUCGUAACCAUUUAGUUGCCCAAUUAUUUUAAUUUAUAGGGUAAAAAGCAUUAAAAAAAAAAAACUGAUGUAGUACUUCGUUCCCUAAACUUUUAUUUGAUUUCAAUUUGUCAAUCCUUAUAAGACACAAAAUUGGUAACUAGUCUAAAAAAUAUUUUAUUUAAGACAUUAAAAAAACUGGAUUAAAGCACUUUGUCGACCUUUCAAUCAUUGCUUUAGUCAGAUAAUCAAUAGAAGCUAAUAAAUCCCUGUUAAAAAUUCUCUCUAAUAAGGUGGAAUAUCAUUUAAAACCUCUUAUAGAGUAAUUGUAUAAUACAAUAUAUGGAGUAGGGCUACUGUGCUAUUAGGAGUACAAUAGUUUUUGUGCUUCUAACUUUUUAACCACCCAUCAAUUUUGAUGAGUGGUUAGGAUGAGAAAGAAAAGAAAAAUUUAAAAGAAACAGGGUGUCUUAACUUCUCUUCUUUUGGAAUUUCUCUCUAAUAUCUCUUUUCUCUCACAUCUUAACCACUUAUCAAAAUUGAUGGGCGAUUACAAAGUUAGGAACACAAGGAGCUGUACUUCUAAUAGCAUAGUAGCCCUGCUCUAAUAUAUGAUUGGUAAAUUUCAACUUCACAAAAAUAAGCAAAUUCAGAGAUUCAAAGAUUUGACGAUUUGAGCAUUUUUUUCUGUUAUAAUAAAUUUUCAUUUUUUUUUUCCAAAAUAUGUUUAUUAUUUAUAAAUUUUUUUAAAAAAAAUUCAAAUACUAUUUUGCAAAUACAAAUACUAUAUAAGGGGUCGUUUGGUUUGAUAUAAUUAUAAAUGCAGUGUAAUUGAAUAUGCAUACCGUUGGAAACAUAACAAUAACAACUACAUGCAUCAUGUUUGGUUGAAUUAAUAAAAAGCGCUACAACUAUAAAUAAUUUGUUUGGUUGCAUGCAGUUGAGAAAUAAUUUUUAAAAUUUUAUCAUUUUAUAUAUAUGAUGGUGAGAUUACCUCCAAUGUAAAAAAAAAAAAAAAAAAUUUAAAAAAUAUUUAAAGAGGUAAGGUUAUAUUUUGUUUAAAGUUACUCUCUCCUGCUGCUGCAGUUGGGAUUGCGGCCAAUUUGGGUAUAAUUCCAACUGCUGCAGUUGGACCUCCUCUUGUGGUUUUUACUGCGGCAGUUGAGUUAAGUAUAUUAAAUCAAAUACCAAAUUUAUAUUUUUAUACCGUUAUAAUUGCCGUACAAUUAAAACGAUAUACAACCAAACGCCCCUAAAUAAAAAUAGUGCAAUACAUUGUAUUUACAGUUAAACACUGACACGAAGUAAAAUGAGUGCACGUUCACAAAGUGUCGCCUGCUGUCACGUAUCGUCACUAUCGACCAUUAAUUAAUUGCAGGUACGUAGCACAUUACUAAAAUUAUAUAUUUUUUUCUAAACAAAGCAUCUCUUGUGAUAGUAAAUUAGUAAUAAAGUAUGAGGAGCGUGGAAAAUGCAAACAUGUGAAUUUCUCAAAAAAUAACAAAAAUUAAUAAGUGUCGUAUUUGCGUUCUCCGCAAAACCUCCGGUGUUAAAACAUUAAAAGAAAUUAAAAUUGACCUAAUUUUAUAUUUUAAAAUAGAGUUGAUCUUUUAUCGUGGAACAACAGAAUCAAUAUGUACAAUAAUAAGAAUCUCGUAAAUCAAGUAACAAUUUUUUCUAGCUUAUAAUCCCUUUCUUUUGUCUAAUAGUUAUGCUAGAAUUUUAAUCUCUCAAAUGAUUAUUACGGAUUUAGUUACGAAAUAAUCAUUAUAUAAAAAUAGUUGAUUAACUAUUUCUGUGUAGGCUCCUAUUCUUAGGUGCAUCUUAAUUUUGUUUUUUUUUCUCAUAACUAGGCCAUUAGAUCAGCUAAUUAAAUUUGCCAUGUUCUACGCAUAAUUAUUUUAUUAUUUUCACUGCUUUUUGGGACAUGGUAUUUGGAGAUUUAACGGGAUAACAAUAGGAAUCUACAAGCAAUCUAAAUAAUAAUUAAUAAUAAUAAUAAUAAAUAAUGAGAAAUAAUUAAUUAUCAGAAAAUAAAAAUUAUAUUAAUAAAAAUGGUGGACGAAGAAAUUAAAUUCAAAAUCAUUUAUAACAGAGAAGAUUUUGCGCAAACUUUAGUACUAUAUAAAUAGUGUGAAAAAGCUUUUUGAUUUUUCUACCUAUUAUUUUAAUUUAUUAUUUGAAUCAGUUAAUAACCUUUUACCUUAUUAUUUAUUUUUGUAGAUUUAGAUAAUAUAUGUUGUGUAAUUUACUAUAAAUUUACUAAAAUAUAUAAUUAAUUUAAAUUUUGCAUCUAAAGAGUUAUUAAAUUACUAAAAAAAUAAAAUAAAUUAAAUUAAUUAAAGUUCAAAUAAGUCGUAUCCAUUGUGAUUCAAAGGGCGGAUAGGGCUAAAAUGGUCAAUCCACCGGCUGCGCCAUCUCAUGCUCAUCUACUGACACGUGUCCUUUUCGUUCACCCUACGUUUCAUGCCCCGUCCACUCUCCACGUCGACUAUAUUUUAAUGUCAAGCGCACCUAUGUUUACUUUUGGACAAAAAUUUUUAGGGGCAUAGUUCCAAACUAAUUAGUUUCGGGACUAUACAGAUCGGCGCCACAUGACUGAUUAGACGAGUGUCUUUCUCAGUUUUUUUUUUUUUCUCUCUAAAAACACAGGGCUCACUUUUCUUUUUUCUUUUUUUUUCAUCCGUGGCUGUCCAAUGGGCCACAUGGCGCUGAUCCGUAUAGUUUCCAAACUAAUUAGUUUGGAAAAUUUGCCCAUAAAAUUUUUGUCCUUUACUUUUGUUGUUUACUUUAAUUUUAAUUUUUUCAUUAAUUAUAUUUUUAUUAUUUUAAAUCAUUUAAUUAUUUUGAUUUUUUAUAGUUUUUAAUUAUAAUGAAAUUGGUAGGUCAGCACGGAACCUUGCCUAGUGGCAAUUUUUUUCUUAUGAUAUAAAACUUUUUAUGAUAUAUUAAAAAUGAAUUAUUAUUGAACGUUUAAUCUCAACUCUCUGAAAACCAUUUUAAUUUGAAAUAAAAGAUAACAAAUUCUCAAUUUUUUUAUUCAUGCACUUUAGCUCCAUAUUUAGUGGCAUGAGCACGGAGCUAAAUAUGGAUUAGUAAAUAAUAGCAGCAUGUUAAUUAAUGCAUAGGAAGUAAAUAUUUUUAAAAUAAUUUAUGUAUGCCCUGACGCAAUAUAGGUUUGCCAAUAAAUAAACAACUUAUACGUUGACUGGGACACUGAAACCGAAAAUAUUUUUGGGCUUUAUUGGGAUGCAUGCCACUUGUAUUUUUUAUCUAAAUUAUCAAAUCCACUACUUAUAAGUUAUCAUAUGAUGAUAAUUUAAAAACAAAAAGGCAUGUGACCCUUAUUUAUGAGAAGGGCUAUUCAUGUAGUAAUUUACAAAGUAAGCUAGAAAGUUCCUACUUUGUAUUAUAUAAUUUUGUUUGUAUUUUAUCAUACAAAUUUGUAGUUAAAUGAAAUUAAAAAUUACCAUACUUUAUAAUGUAGGGAGUGAUAAAAUAUAGCUGUUUACUAGUUUGUAAAUAUAAAAAGUAUACCUAUUAACUUUCUUCUGCGAAACAAUGUGAAAUAAUAGUAAUGAUAAUAAUAAUAAGUAUUAUUCUUCAAAAUUUUAAACCAUCACUUUUGGGUUAAAUUUAAAUUCUCGUGUUCCUACAAGCAGUUAUUAUUUUCGAAAAUAUCGAAACAAGCGAUAUUUUUAAUAUUUAUAUUCAACAUCUCCUAUUCCCUCCCCCUCAUUUCUAUUAUUUAUUAUGUGCCCUACUAGAUCCAUAACCCACUGUACAUGAUCUCUGUUCCUUGCCCUUCCACAUAGAUAUAUAUAUAUAUACAAGUCCCUCACCAAUUCUUAGGGACUGAAACUAAUAAAUCGUACUCCUCUCCAAUCACCAACAAUCUCUCUCUCUCUCUCUCUCUCUCUCUCUCUCUCUCUCUCUCUCUCUCUCUCUAAACCAGUUAGUGGGGGGAGAGAAAGCAUGGGGAGAGCUCCAUGUUGUGAGAAGGUGGGGUUGAAGAAGGGGAGGUGGACUGAAGAGGAGGACGAGAUAUUGGUUAAGUAUAUUACCACCCAUGGUGAAGGUUCUUGGAGAUCCUUGCCUAAGAAUGCAGGUACAAUACAUAUACAUGCAUGCCACUAAGCAAGUACUUCUCAAUUUGAUUCUAUCUCUACUUUCUCUCUCUAAAAAUGUUGGUUGGAGCUAGAUAUUUGCUUUUGGAGACAAAUGAUUUUGUCACAUAAAUGCAUGCAUGUAUGGUACCAGAGCAGAAGAUUUUCAAAACAAGUCUUUUUUUUUCAGAUUCUUAUUCUCAUACGAAUAAUUAAAGUACCAUUUCAUCGCAACUUAAGUUUUUAGAGAUUAGCGAUUAGUUCGCACCGAAUUAGAGAAACUUUAUAGUAUAUAUAUAUAUAUAUAUAUACCCAACUCAUCAUAAGUUGAUCAUCACCUUCUUCUUCUUCGUCCUUUUACUAGGGCUUUUGAGGUGUGGGAAGAGCUGCAGGUUAAGGUGGAUAAAUUAUCUUAGAGCAGAUCUAAAGAGGGGAAAUAUUUCUCAGGAGGAGGAGGAGAUGAUAGUAAAACUCCAUGCCACCCUUGGGAACAGGUACUAUGGAUCUUCUAUAUCUUUCUCUUUCUAUGCUCACCAUCCUGCAUUUUUUACCAUAAACGUCCAUCAUUUUACUGGGUUUUUCUCCGAAUGAUAACAUUAUAAUUAAUCAAAAUUAACUAUGUGAGGUUGGAUAUAAUUAAUUGGAGGUUGUGUUGGGAAAUUUAUUUGCCUUUGUGUUUGGUACCUAAACUCAAUAUAGUAUUCACUACUUAAAUUAAUUACCUUCUCUGGGUUAUGUUUUCUGAAAAGAUCCAAACACUAUUAAAAAGAAAAAUUAAAAAAAAAAUAUCCUGCACGGUAAAAUGCGCUUAUUAACUAAGACAAAAAAUUAUAAAAACUUAUCCUUUUAUGAAAAUUGUAACUCAGACCGUCCUUAGAGCUCGUGUUUGAGUUAGUCAUAGUUUUUACAACAUAUUGAGAUUUGCUUCCACUGUUGCUUUCGGUAGCAAUCGCAUCUUUUCUUUUGCUAUAUUAAGAAAUAAUAAUAAUAACAAUUACGAAGCUUAAAAUUAAAUAUUUAAUUAAAAAAGUUUCGAUCUAAUGCUUCUCUUAAAAGCAUUACUCAAACGAUACGUACAGCUGCGUACAUAUCAUAAAUAUCACUGCACUACAUCACUAUUUCUUUUCUCUUUCAUAAAAAAAGCUCGAGACCUGGCCCACACGUCCCGUACCAUUAUUGAUGCUGUUAUUAUAAAAUUAUUCACUUAUUAUUAUUAUUUUUUUUGUUCUUCGUUUCCCACAAGGGCGUUGUUUAUGUUUAACAACGUGGGAAGAGUCAGAGUGCGGGGUGGUUGUGGGGCCCACGCACGCAUCGGAGCUAGCGAAUCAGAAGCGGCCUUCUGCGCGGGUCGCAGGGGGUGGGCCCCGCCACGGCUGCGGCAGACGUGGCGUCCUGUGCGCCGUCGGUGGUGAUGCACGUGGGCGAAAUCGUCCACUUACCGUUUCGUCCACGUCACCGACUCUCUGUUUUGUCCUUUUCCCAUGUGCGGUUUAUUUCCUCUUUUUUCCACAAAUUUUAGUAUUUUACCUCAUUAUUCUACAAAAAGUACGUAUCCUUAGCAGCCAAGUAUAGAACGUUAACAAAAAGUAAAAUAAUAAUAAUAAUAAUAAUAAUAAUAAUAAUAAUAAAUUAUAUAAAAUUUAUCUGAAUUAUAGAUUUUUUUAGUCCCACAAAUUUGACCUUUCAAAAUUUUACUUUUAGUAUUUAUUUUUUUUAAAAUUUAUUUGAUUUGAAUAGUUAUCACCGGAUAUAAAAUUUUUACUUGUUUUAACAAAUUUAUAGUUAGACGAAUUAUAUAAAAUAUAUUAACUAAACUCGCAAAGAUAAACAAUGCAUUCAAAUUUUAAAAUUCAAGGAUUACUAACCCGCUUAAGUUAAUAAAUUAAAAUAUUAGAUAAUAAAAUUAAAAUUUUUUAAUGUCAGAU
RNAcentral lists this long non-coding RNA (57316 nucleotides) under Ananas comosus (pineapple). RNAcentral describes it as "long non-coding RNA (ACOM_LNC006516)". The record is from RNAcentral. Lineage: Eukaryota; Viridiplantae; Streptophyta; Magnoliopsida; Poales; Bromeliaceae.